AUUUCCAAAGGCGAUGAUACUCCAUCAGCAAGUAUUGGAGGACUGUGCGGUGCGUGUUCCAGGGUGUUGGAAAUAGAGCCAAUUUCUUAGCUAAUUGGUAAUGUUAAGUUUGGUGAUGAAAACCUUCUGCCUCUUUUUUAUUUUGUAAUUGCUUGGGUCUAAUUAUGUGGUUGUGUCAAGAGAACAUUGAUGUGUGCGUGAGAGACUCCAUGAGAAAAUAUGUGUGUUUGCUUUGUCUGCUAUGAUUUAUUUGUGCUGUUAUGGCUGCUGGUAAUAUCGUGAAUUGAAUAAUAUUAUUAUUUGCCAUCCUUUAUAUAUAGCCUGUAUAAAGAUAAUUUUAUGAUAUUAUCUACUUUACAAACUCAUUAGAUUUAUGCAACUACAAUUUUAAUAUUAAAUAUUGGAUCACAUUUUUAUAUAGGAUAUGGAUCCAAAAUAAUUCCGUAAGGAUUAAUAAAUCUAACAUAGCUGUAAAACUGGAUAUAAAGUUGAUCAAGAUAAAAUACAGGUUAUGAGUUAAAAAGAUCAUCCUGAGUCAAUUCUCAAAUGUUUUUUUUAAUACAAUAAAAACAAUAUUUUUUUAUAAAAAACAAUUCUAGAAAUUGAGAGCCGGGUGUUGAUCGAUCAGUAGAUUAACUUCAAUUUUUUUAUCAAAUCAACUAAAUUAUUUAUUUAUUUAUUUUAAACCGCUCCAAAUUCUAAAUUAAUUAUAUUUCAAAUCAACCCAGGCUAAAUCCAAGUAAUAUUGUACUGUCUAUUUAUAAAAACCUCUUAAACUUAGACCAGUUAGAUACAUAGGUAGAUAUAAAAGGUAUACCUUACUUUUUUGUAUAACGAAAAUAAAUAUAAAUAAAUUUACAAUACAUAAACAUUAAACAUCUAAAGAUACUUUUUUGGUAUAAAUAUUGCAUCAAUGUCGAAGCUAAAUGAUUGUCUUAGGAUACUUUUAUGAAUAAGGCUAAUUACAAAUAAAUUUGCCAAUGAUUGUUUCCAAACCUAAGAAGUUUGAAUGGAAUAAGUCCUUUUUAUUAGCAAUCUAAAGCAGGAUUGCUAAGACAGGCUUUCGAGCAGGCAGGACAAAUGCCGAUUCUGCCUAUGCCAACUUCCUGUUUCUAGCAAUGAUUCUCUCCAUCAACAUCCAAGGUUUGUCUUAGCAAGAUCCGGCGAAGCCGGUGAAGAGCUUAGGUAUAGAAAGGGACAAAACAAAGAUGGUUAGCUUGAAUUUCAGGAGAAUACUAGAAAGAAAAUAUUAAGAAAUAAGAUUUUGAAUUGAGAGUUUUUUAUAUUAAUCCUAUUUAAUAGAAUUUUAUUUUGCUUAUAAUUGUUGUUAAUGUUAUGCUGUUUCUAUCUACAUCAUAAUUAUGCUUUCUAGCGAUCAUUUAUGCUUUCUAGCUAUCAUUGUAUCUAUUUUCUUAUAUUUAUAUUUUUGUUUUUGCUAUUCUUUGAUGAUUUAACUUAAAAUUAGAGAUUUAUUUUAUUCUUUAAAUAUGUUAAUUUUGUAUUUAUGAGAUUUUUAAAUCAACAUGUCAAAAUUACAUUUAUUAUCAAUUUCACAAACUAAUUUUAGUGGACUUGUCUCAACAUCUCCUGCCGAAUGAUAAAUUAUUAGAACUGUAUAAUGUAUUUAAAGAUAAGAUUGAUCAAAUUAAAGAUGCAAGGAAAAAUUAGAGAAACAUUAUAGGGACAAAUUUAGCUAUCAACAAUAUAUUUUUUAAAAAAUAUAUCUUAUCCCAGUAUGAAUUGAUUAUCUUUGAUAUGUAAAUUGUAAAUAAAUCUUACAAUAAAAAUUUUCAUCCUUUUUUUUCUAUCAAUUUCAUUUUUUUUUAAUUUUAUCUUCAAACUUUUUUACUAGUCACGAUUAGGUUAUAUUUAAACCAAUUAAAUUGACUAAGUCAUGUUGGAAAAACUCUCACACUGUUUAAAAUUAAUUGAGAGGGUUUAAAAUUGAUCUACUAGCCUAGAUUUAAUAAUAAUAUCAAAUAAUUAUCUACUAUCUAAAUAUUUUUUGUUAAGUUCAAAAUCUAAAUUGAAAGAGAAAGGAACAAAAUGUGAAAAACAAAGAAACUUCAUGAUUAGUCUUAAAUUUGCAAAGUGCUUUUAGUUAUCUUGAUUGUACUUUCUCCUAUAAUAUAGCCCAUAUCCCAUAUGUUUUCUGGAUAUUUAAUUUUUAUCUAAAAAUUUAUUUUGUUCUUGAUUUUAAAGAAUAUUUAUAUUUGGAUCAUGUUUUAGUAAUAAAAAAAUAAAAUAUUUUUAUUUGAAUCAUAUUUUAAAUUAAAAUUUAAACACUCAUAUCAGGCCUUAUUUUUAUCAUUCAUCAUCAAAACUAAAAAAUAAUGCAGCAUAUCGGCCAUUUUUAAUUAAAUAAUAGAAUGUAUAUUUAAAUCCGUUUUUAUUACUUUUUAUUGCACAUUGCUUUAAAUAGGCAUCUAUAUUAAUAACGCCUUAAGUUUUUUUUUACACAUUAAUUUGAAAUCAUUGAUUAGUUUUUUUUUAAUUAAAAAAUUAUUUUAAGAGAAACCUCUAUUGGAAAAACACUUUUGCUGUGUUAUUUUUAGAAAAAGAAAAACCAAAAAACAAUUCUCUUUAUGCUACUUUCCAAAAUUGUUUUCAACCAAUAUGGCCCCCAUGUCGGUGCUCCAGACAAAAAAUUCGCACUGCGUCAAAAUCAAAUCCCCCUAUAAAUACCACACCACAGUAAAUCACUCUCCCUCAUCCGCUCUCCACAAUCCCUCGAACCCCUGAAACAGGCAAAACUGUUACCGUGAAACGACACGCACUCACCCUCUCGCUUCUCUCCACGGCCAUAACCGUCGUGGUAAUCGAUGCGGUGGUCCCCGGCCGAUGGACCCCGAGAAGAGACCUGGGGAACGUGGUUCCCGGCGUAUGGACCCCAAUAACAUGUCCAAAUUUCGUUUUUUAGGUUGUUAAUCCUUAUCCAGAAGAAAUAAUUACAUUAAUUUGGCUCUUUAAAAAAAGCGAUUGUUUUCAUUUGGUAUAUUAAUUUGGCUCUUUAGAAAAGUGAUCGUUGUUCUGGAUAGAAAGUUAGAUUCAACGACCCAGAAGAAGGAGAAGAAGAAGCAGAAGGAAUAUGGCUUGUAUUUUUGUUACUGAUAGUUUUCCAUGCACUUGGUUUUGCUAGGCAAAUAGGAGUAAUCUACAGGUUGAGUUAUGUUAUUACUUUUUCCAGAGAAAAAUGAAUAUCAUUAUUUUUUUUCCGACAGUGUGUAGAUGUAGAAUGAUUGAAGUUAUCGAUUUGAAAUAAAAAACUAACUCGAAAAAUAUUUUAAAUUCUCAAAUUAAUUUGUGAGAUAUCCCCGUUAAUUUGAGUUAUUUUGGUUAAAAUAAUAUAAUUUUGUUUUUGUUACAGAAAAUCCUUUAAAUUGACCUGAUUUAGUUUAAUUGAAUUAAUAAAAUCAUUAAAACUCUAGACUGAAUUAAUAUUUUUUUAGUUCAACACCUCGGGUAAAAUUUUAGAUUAUAUAUAAUUUUUUCUAAAUUAAUUAUCGAAUUAAGUAUUCAAUGUUUGUUUAUUUAGUAAUUUAUGGAAUGUAUAUAUAUAUAUAUAUAUAUAUAUAUAUAUAUAGAGAGAGAGAGAGAGAGAGAGAGAUUAUAAAAAGAUACUAGCUAUUCAUUUGUGCUCUGGUAAAUUUUUUUUUAUUUUUUAUAAAAACUUAUUUAUAUAUGUUUUUUCAAUGUAUUUUGAUUGUUCAAAAAUUAUAACAAAUCAAAAAAUUUAUGCACAUAUAUAAUAACAUAACUAAGAAGUAUGUGCAUUAAUAAAUCAAUAAAAAAAUAUUAAUGACAUCUAAAAAUAAAAUUUGAGAAAUCAAUAGAUAAAUAUAAAUUAAAAUAUUGAAUCUUGAAAAAUUGAAUUUUUAAAACAUAAAAACAAACAUGCUUUGAUAAAAAAAUUCAACUCAACCUCAAAUAAAAAAAAAUAUUUUUUUAUAUAAUAUAAAAAAAAUUUAAUUAAUUUUUUUUAUUAUAUAAAAAAAAUAUUAAAGUAUUGGAUUUUGCUUGGGCUUGUAACUAGUAACCUGAAACAUUUCAGAAACUGAAUAAGUUGUAUGGCUUGUAAACCAUUGUUGCUAAUGGGUUGAAGUUUCCUGCUUAGAUUUUUAACAAACAACAUGUUUAAUGGGCUUCCUACCUGGAUGAAUAACUCGAUGACACAUAUCUAUUCUACAGCGUAAGACACUAGAUUAACAUCUAAUUAAUACAAGCUUAUCUACAACUGUCUACAUAAUUUCUUUUUUAAUUACUUCAUUGCCUAGGUCGGAGAUAGAGUAUAAUUAUGUCAUUGAAAUAGUAUAAAACUAUUAUUGGGAAUUUAUCAAACAAUUUAACCUUUUGGACACUCUUCAAUAUUAGAUAAGGUAUGACGAUUUAGGGAUACAAAUUAUCAUGAUUUAGUGUGUUCUUCAGCUUUUUUUUUUCUUAGUUCAUUACAUCCCUUGAUUAAGCAUACAACAAACCAUAGUUAAUGUAUAACACGGUUUAUAAUCUUGUGGCACCUACUGUACGUAUGAAAGCUUAGUCAAUUAUGUACGUAUAUAUGCAGGUAUGUAUGAAAGCUUAGCCACUUAUUUAAUUUGUAAAGAUUUUUUAAAUUAUGAUGUUAUACAAACAUAGCCUAAAGGUUAAGUAUCAAAAAUAUGUAUAUUAAAAAAAAAUCAUGUUUAAUUAAUAAAAUAUUAUUAGAAUCUUGUUUUAAUUACAAGUUAUAUUUUAUCAAUGUGGAUUAAAGAUGAUAAAAUUUAUAAUACUUUAAAAUAAAUAAAAAUAAAGAUAAAUUUUAAUAUAAAUCAAAGUGAAUAAACCUUUCUAAAUUGUUGGACUAAUCUAAAUAUGAUUUUAACAUUUAAAAAAACAUUAUUUAUGCACCACUAAGCAGUAACUAAUCAAAUUAAAAUAAUUAAUUCAUGAUUAUAGAAAAAAUUAAAACACAAUAGUGAAAUUAAUCUUAAACUUACACGUUAUCAAUUAUUUAAAAAUUAUGAAAAUUAUGAAAAUCUUCUGAUUGAGGCAGCACACCACCUGAUAAUUGUCUCCAACCCUUGCCAGAUCUGAAUUUUCCAACCCGAUGCUGCCGUCCCCAAAAGUCCUUGUGGCUGAUUGAAACACACCUGCUCUAUCCUUAUCAUCUGCAACGUCUUCUUCUUCUUCUUCCCCACCACCAUAGGUGUCCACGUCAUCGGCCAAAUCAAUCGAGUCUUGCUCAUCAUCCAUGGUGUAUGAAACAAAAGAUGCUGAAUUACAUGAACAAAGACUUGCCAUAAAUCUUAAAGAUGCAUUAUUACUUCUCAAUGCUACAUGUAGGGCAAGGGCGGAGCCAAGAAUUUUUACUAUUCUAGGCUAUGAUAUAAAUACAUAUAAUUUAUUUUUUAAAAUCAAUUAUUCACUCGAAUAUAUAAAUUUGCUAGAUUAACAAUAAAGUUUUAAUUCAAAUACAUAACACAAAAUAUAUAAAACAUAAAAUUUAAAGCAUUUAAAAUUCAAAAUAAAAAUAAAUCAUACCAUCAAAGUUGCACCUUUCGAUGUUUUGUAGAAUAUAAUUCAUCUAUGAUCGAAUCCGAAUCAAUAUCUUCAACAAGCUCUCAUUCAAUGUAAAUCAUCAAAGAAUCUACUAAGAACUCCUCUUUUAUUUUAUUACUAAGCAUAAUUUUAACAUGUUCCACUAUCCCAUUACUGAAUCUAAAAUUUAAUUCUUUCAAUUAAAAAUCUAUUGUUGAGUUAAAUAUAUUAUAAUGAUAACGUUGGUUAACAGUCAUUGAACCUUGUUAUUGAUAUGAAUGAUAUGUAACCUUUUUAUACGAAACAUUCAUAUGUGGAACACAAUUAAUCGCAAUUAUUAUUAUUUUUAACCCAAAUUUUUCAUGCUUCAACCCUCUUUGGUGAUAUAUAGUUAGUUUAUUUUUGGGUUUCAAAAAUAUUUUUUUUUUUAAAUAAAUUUAGUUUUUGCUUCAAAUUAAUUUUUUAGUGUUUUCAGAUUGUUUUGAUGUGCUGAUAUCAAAACUGAUUUUUUUUUUAAUUUUUUUGAUAUAUUUUUAAAUAAAAAAUAUUUUAAAAAGUAAUCACUACCACAAACACCAUUAAUGAAACAAAACAUAUUUUACAAUUAAUUAAGUAUAAAAAUAAUUAUUUUCCACAUGUUGCAAUUAUAUUAGUGUGUCCUUACUUUUGUCUAUACUCCUUUUCUUUAUAUAAUUUUGUGUUUAGAAAGCCUCACAAAUCAUAAAGGUUUAAUUGUUCAAACGUAUACUCCUUUUAUUUAUUUAUUGGGCAAAACAUUAUUUGUUACCUAGGCUACAGUCCACCUGAGCCUUGUACAAGGCUCCGCCCUUGAUGUAGGGUAUGCUGUGAUGCUUAAGCUUUAGUAAAUGCAAAAGAUAAACACAAUAUACUAAACAAAGACUUACCAUAAAUCUUAAAGAUCCCAAGGUUCAAUCAUAGAAGGCAUAUCACCUUUAUUACUUCCCACGGUUCACAUGCCGUGGGUCCAAUCAUUGAUGCUGAACACGGACACAGAUAAACAAAAGACUUGACCAUAAAUUUUAAAAAUGCAUUUUUACUUUUUCCAUCCGUUCAAUCAUUUACAUUAUUAUUUUUCUGACAACGUCACAAAAUCAAUUCAUUUCAUGAUGGCGUGGCCUUUUUUUCUUCGUGAGAGAAAGAGAGAUGAAAGGGAGGGGUCUGUCGUGUUUUUUGUUUUUAUUUUUUUGUUGCUUGAUAGAGAGAAAAGGAUGGCUAGUUAUGGGGGUUUGAAUGUUUUACAGUAGUGGAGGGCAUAAUUUUUUUAAGGGAAUUUGGGUUUUCUUUUUUCUUUAGUGGUGACAGUGGGAGCUUGAAGAUUAUGAGUUGUUCUUGUUGUUUUUAUUUAAAAGUGUGUGUACUGGAUGGUGUGAGGGUCAUGAGUGUUUUACUCUUUUUAUUAUUAUUAUUAUUAUUGAAAUACCAAAUGAAAUAUAAUAGAAUAACCUUAAUGAAAAAUCACCUAUUGAAAUGAGAGAUAUAAUCAUUUCUUUAAGAAUUUAAAAAAUAUUUAAUUAUUAAAAGUGCUCAUGAAUUCUAGAGUUGUUUAGGAUAAAAAUAAAUAAAAUUAUGAGAAUCAAAUAAAAUCUUUAUAUAGAAAACUAUAUAAAUAUUAUUGUCUUUGAUUGCAUUAAAAGCUAAAUAGUUAAAGACAAUAUAUUUACUAAUUAAUCGAGUAAAUCUGAUAGUAUUUUAUUAAGAAGAUUCAAGCUAAAUAAUUAUUUUUCCAUGAAUUUUCAAGUUUUUAUAUACCGAUUUUAUUCUUGUGAGAUGUUAUCAUAAAUUUGUUUUAAAUGAUUAGUAAGUAUAUUUGAGGAUACGAGAUCCACUCUUAUUUAGUGUUCAAGUUUUAUUUAUAAUUAUUUUUUAACAAAGAUCUUUAAGAUAAAACAUUAAUGUGAUAAAAAUAAAUGAUAAAUUGAUAUAAAAAACCUUGUUUUUGUUUUUUGUUACCGUCCUACUGAUGAAGUCAAAUGCGAUUGCACUUGUGAGAACAACACAGUAUGUCACGUCACCAGCCUGUAAGUUCCUCAUCAACCUCAUCCAAUUUUCUUUUAUUUUUGUAAGGCAAUGCGUCCUCUCUAAAAACUCACUGGUUUCUAUGUUGACGCCUUUUUUGGGUGGUAGAGAACUCUCAAACCGCGAAUUAGACGGACAAAUCCCCGCUGAAGCCAUAUGACAUGUGAUGAUGAUAAUUCGUAGCAAUUAUGCUGACCUCAACUAAUGUAUAACAAGCAACUUUAUGGCAGCAUCCCUGACGUCACCAUGGGGAGCUUGCCUUCACUCUACUCUCUGUAAGGGAUCCAGUACCAUGGUUAUUUACUACUGCUGCUGUUUAUUUUGUUGCAGUCAUUUGUCCAAACAUAUUCUUUAUUUUAAAUAUACUACAAUUUUUAAAAUAAAACUAACAAAAAUAAGAUAUUCUAUGUAACUCGAUUCAAGAAUCCCUAUGAUUGAUACAUUUAGCUUCUGCCUCGGAUAUUCGGUCUUUGGGCUGUAGUUAUUUAGCUUCGACAAUAUAUAUAUAUAUAUAUAUAUAUAUAUAUAUAUAUAUAUAUAUAUCUUUGGGGAUGCAAUUAUUGAGUCCCAGAUGCAUAGCUACUUGAGUUGUCAGCUAGCGUGCAUCGUCAGAAUAUAUAUUUACAAAUCUAACAUUUUGCUUUCCUGAAAUCACAUUUUUUAAAUUAUAUUCCAUUAAAUAAUUGGCCCCUACUGGUAGGCCUAGAUAUUCCAUUAAAUAAUUUUGUUUUCCUAAAAGCACAUCAUUUUUGGUUUUAUCCAGCGCUGGUUUCCAUGUCGUAAGGAGUCUUGAAGUGGCCCCUACUGGUAGGCCUGGAUAUUUCAUAGGUAGGAUUGACAUCUCAGAACAGCAGCCAUUCCUUUACUGAAUUCCAGAUCAGCUAGGGGUCUUCUGUGAAGCAAACUUUCUGACAGGAGCACAAAUCAAACCACCUAAGGAUUCUUUUAAUAUUCGACAAGCUGUCCCCAUGCCCACAACUAAACGAUAUCGCGUCACUUAGCUUACCUAAGCAUGCUGAUGUCUUGCAAAUAGUUUACCUCUAUUGAAAAGGACAUCUCAGUGAUAUGUCAUUUAGUUUCUGGUAAUUAAGGAAAUUCUAAUUAGCUUUCCAGAUAUUAUUAUUAAGGGUAUUGUAUAAUAAAAAAAAUAAAAUUACUAUAUACUUCCUAUUUUAAUGUAAAUUGCUUUGUUACUUGUUUUAAAAAUUUAAAAUAUUUAUUAUGCUAAGAGAUUGUCUAAAGUGAUAUGUUUUUAUUUUAAAACUAAACUAAGAGAGUGAUUUAAAAAUGACCUAAUCCCUAAUGUUAUAAUAUAGAUCGAAAUGAAUAUGAAAAAUAAGUCUACAUAGAAUUUAUCUCAAAUUCACUUAUUGUAUCAAGAAAAUAUAUCUUAAAACAAGUAAACAAUCAUUCACACGUUCAAAUUAGACAUAGAAAAUUCAAAUGAUGAAUAAAUAUUUAUAAAUAAUAAUUAUAAUUAAAAAAAUAAUAUUAAUGUUUUAAAAUAUUUACAUUUAUAAUUAAAAACAAUGUUGUCGUGAUUUUCCUGGUUAGAUUAUGAUUGACUAGAUAACUAGAAUAGUAUUCUGAAAAGGUAUUGAUGAGAGAAUUUCUAAGCUCACAAAUCCAGCUUAUAACACAAUAUGAAAAUAUUUCUCAAAAAAACACAAUAUAAAAAUAACAUUUUGCAUAUAAAAAAUAAGCAUUAAUCGACUCAACUAUCCUUAAUGCAACAUUCAAGGGAAAGCACAAAAUUAAAGUCUUACAAUCCUUAGGUCAAUUUUGUAUAAACAACCAAAAAAUACAAGACACAAUUAAAAGUAAAUCUCGUUCUUUGAGAAAUGGUGCCAUCAAAAUUAAAUUGCAUGAAUAUGAAAAAUUAAGUUUAUGUGAUAAGCAACAUCCAAUUAAUAAAACCCAACAAAUAAUCUUUUCAUUCUAGGUUGAUAUACGAAUGAAAAGACAAUUUAUAACAACAUAACAAACCACAAAUAUAAAAAUUACUCAUAACAAAAGAUGUGUAUAGUUGAGAAUAAUUAGAAGGCUUAACCUAUUGAUUUGCAACCUUUUCUAUUUAUAUAUGUAGGGCAAAAUACAAUAGUAAUGAUGGUGAUUACAACACAAGAGUAUAACUAUAAUAUUUUCUAUAUAAAUACAUUCUAUAAUAUGCCCUCUUAAGUUUUAAAGAUUUUUUAAAUUAUGAUGUUAUACAAACAUAGCCUAAAGGUUAAGUAUCAAAAAUAUGUAUAUUAAAAAAAAUCAUGUUUAAUUAAUACAAUAUUAUUAGAAUCUUGUUUUAAUUACAAGUUAUAUUUUCUCAAUGUGGAUUAAAGAUGAUAAAAUUUAUAAUACUUUAAAAUAAAAUAAAAAAUGAAAUUAAUCUUAGUAAAUCAAAGUGAAAAAACCUUUCUAAAUCAUUGGACUAAUCUAAAUAUGAUUUUAGCAUUUAAAAAAACAUUAUUUAUGCACCACUAACUAGUAACUAAUCAAAUUAAAAUAAUUAAUUCAUGAUUAUAAAAAAAAUUAAAACACAAUAGUGAAAUUAAUCUUAAACUUACACGUUAUCAAUUAUUAAAAAAUUAUGAAAAUCUUCUGAUUGAGGCAGCCCACCACCUGAUAAUUGUCUCCACCCUUUGCCAGAUCUGAUUUUUCCAACCCGAUGCUGCCGUCCCCAAAAGUCCUUGUGACUGAUACACGCCUGCUCUAUCCUUAUCAUCUGCAACGUCUUCUUCUUCUUCCCCGCCACCAUAGGUGUCCACGUCAUCGGCCAAAUCAAUCGAGUCUUGCUCAUCAUCCGUGGUGUAUGAAACAAAAGAUGCUGAAUUACAUGAACAAAGACUUGAGCAUAAAUCUUAAAGAUGCAUUAUUACUUCUCAAUGUUACAUGUAGGGUAUGCUGUCAGCUUUUGGCCUUGAUCAUACGUACUGAUGCUUUAGCUUUAUUAAAUGCAAAAGAUAAACACAAUAUACUGAAAUUAUUGCUGCCAAACCGGCGUUUUGACAAAAUUCAAAAUUUUUUUUUUUUUUUUUUUGCUAAAAUUAAGUUAUGGUUGUACUUUUUGGAUCGUUUUGAUGUGCUGAUAUCAAAAAUGAUUUUUAAAAAAUGAAAAAACAUCAUUUGCAUGUAUUUCGGCACGAAAAGCUAUUUAAAAAGCAACCACUACCACACUACCAAACACGCUCUGACCAUAAAUCUUAAAGAUCCCAAGGUUCAAUCAUAGAAGGCAUAUCACCUUUAUUACUUCCCACGGUUCACAUGCCGUGGGUCCAAUCAUUGAUGCUGAACACGGACAAAGAUAAACAAAAGACUUGACCAUAAAUUUUAAAAAUGCAUUUUUACUUUUCCAUGGGUUCAAUCAUUUUACAUUAUUAUUUUUCUGACAACGUCACAAAAGCAAUUCAUUUCAUGGUGUGUCAAAUCAUUUAGCAGAGCCAUUAGCUGGGCAUAGAAAAGUUUUUAAUAUAAAAUCCUCAUUUAAAUUUUAAGUUGGCUAGUAAAAUCAUAUGAAUCUAAUAUAUAAAAUAAAAUUAAAAUUAAAAUUAAAAACUAAAAAAUUAGUAAAAUUAGUUAAACUUGAUGGAAUUUGAUAAAAUUAAUAAACUCUAAUGGAUUUUAUGAGUUUAAAAAAAUAUAAAAUUAUAUUGGUUUAGUUGGGAUAUUUGAGUGGAGGAGAGCUUUGUGUAUAAGUGUGUUGAUGUAGAGAGAUAAAAGGGAGGGGUCUUUCGUGUUUUUUUUUUUUUGUUUCUUUGUUGCUUGAUAGAGAGAAAAUGAUGGCUAGUUAUGGAGGUUUGAAUGUUUUAGACUGUGUUUGGUAUUGCGGUAGCUGUUGUGGUUAUGGUUUGAAAAAAAUUGUUUUAUAAAAAGUGCUUUUUGUUGAGGUUGAUUUGAAAAAAUAGAUGUUUGGUUAAAACUAUGGUUGGAAUUGAGGUUGAAUUAAAAGUAGUUUAAUGUGUUUGGUUAAGGGUGUGUUUGGUAUUGUGGUUGCUGUUGUGGUUGUGGUUUUAAAAAAGUUGUUUUAUAAAAAGUACUUUUAGUUGAGGUUGGUUUGAAAAAAUAUAUGUUUGGUUAAAACUGUGGUUGAAAUUGAGGUUGAACAAAAAGUAGUUUAAUGUGUUUGGUUAAAAAAAUGCUUUUCAAAUUGAGGUUAUAAAAUAAUUAAAAAAUACUUUUAAUUUAAAUAUUGUAGAUUUAACUACCAUUAUUACAUCAUGAAAUAAAUAACUAUAUUUUUCAUGAUUUCUUAAGCACACAACAAUAAAAACUGAAUUUUUUGUUACUUCAUCAAGUGAUCUCCUUCUAAUUUUUUGAAUAAAACAGAAUUAAAAUAAAAAUAAAAACUGAAUUUUUUUUAACUGGGUCUGACACGGCAAUAACAUAAUUGGAAUUGCGAUCAAAUUCCACAAAUGCUACGUCAUCAUGCUAUAUCCUUCUAAUUUAUGUAGUAUUAUUAAAUAAUAGUUUUUCAACUAAAACUCAAUUUUUUUAAAAAAAAUUACAAUUUCAUUACGUACAAAAUUUAUUCGACAAAAACUACAGUUUUCAUGAUUUUUUGAGCAUGCAAUAAAAUUAGGUAAAAUAUUAUCAGGAAUAAAAUUGAGAUUACAGUAUAAGUAAAUUUAAUUCACCUUAAACUAAUUUUUUUUAAAAAAAAAAAAUAGUGUUCACGUUUACAUGAAUAGUGCGAGUGAAAUCACUGAUUUUUUUUAAUUGCACUGAUUUUUCAGAAGAAAAAAAUAAACUUUUCUUGGUUUUUCGAAAUUAAAAAAAAAAAAUUAAAACUCUGAUUUAAGUUUAGGGAACAGUGCGAGUGAAUUAAAAUUCACUCGCACUGUACAUUGUAAACCUUUCUUGGUUUUUUGAAAAAAAAAAAAAAAAAACCUCUGAUUUAAGUUUAGGGAACAAUGGAGCCAUGCUCCACUAUUCCAGCGUUUUUCCUUCAGGAGAUGCAACAUUUUGCUGCUUCUCCCAAACCGCCGUUUCAAUUUAAAAUUGAGUGGGCCCUACCAGUUAAAAGGAGGUUUUAUUUCGUUGCCAAACAAAAAUUUGAGUGGCUGUGGGUGAACCUCACCCGCAGCCACGUUACCAAACGACACCUAAGAAUGCUUUUGAAAUUGAGGUUAUAAAAUAAUUUUAAAAAUAUAUAUAUUAAUAUUGAUGAUUUUUAAUUUAAAUAUUAUGGAUUUAAUAUUGCUAUUACAUCAUAAAAUAAAUCAUUCUAUUACGUAAGAAAUACAUCCGACAAGAACUACAAUUUCUAUAAUUUUUUAGUGUGUUAUAAAAUUAGAUAAAAUAUUAUUAUGUAUAAAAUUCAUUUUAAACUAGUUUUUUUUAAAAAAAAAUUUUAAAAAAAUUAACACACUAAAAAAAAGAAAGAAAGAAAGUUGCUCACGCAGUGCAAGAGAAUUGCAUUGUUCACUAUUUUUAAGUGAACAAUGCAAUUCUCUUGCAUUGUUCAUAUUAAUUGCACUGUUCAUUGAACAGUGCAAUUAACGUGAACAGUAACAAAACAACGAAUUCUUGCUUUUCAAAUGUUGUGUUUCCAACGCAAAAAAAGGUGGGCCCUAGUGAACAGUAUACCUCAUUUUUCUUUAACCAAACGGCUACAGCUGUGUUUUCAAUAAAACACAGCCGCAGUCGCAGAGCCAAACGGACUCUUACAGUAGUGGAGGGCAUACUUAUUUUAAGGGAAUUUGGGUUUUCUUUUUUCUUUAGUGGUUACAGUGGGAGCUUGAAGAUUAUGAGUUGGUCUUGUUGUUUUUAUUUAAAAGUGUGUGUACUGGAUGGUGUGAGGGUCAUGGUUUUUUACUCUCUGUUUUUAUUUAUUGAAAUACCAAAUAGAAUAUAAUAGAAUAAUCUUAAUGAAAGAUCACCUAUUUAAAUGAGAGAUAUGAUCAUUUCUUUAAGAAUUUCAAACAUAUUUAAUUAUCAAAAGUGCUCAUGAAUUCUUUAGUUAAUCUAUUUAGGCACUUGAGUGUAAAGAGGGUGUGGCCUUUUUGUCUUCGUGAGAGAAAGAGAGAUGAAAGGGAGGGGUCUGUCCAGGGGCGGAGCAAGAAAAAAUAAUUAGGAGGGGUCAAAUUAUAAAUUAGAGAGGCUAAGAAAAAAUUUCAGUUAUUUUUAUUAAAAUUAUAAAUAUUUAUAAGGGAGGGGUAUUUUCGUGUAGGGGUCGGUGCCCCUGCCAGCCCCCUUCCCUCUGCCACUGGGUUUAUCGUGUUUUUUUUUUUUUUUUGCUGCUGCUUGAUAGAGAGAAAAGGAUCAAUGGAUAGUUAUGGAGUUUUGAAUGUUUUACAGCAGUGGAGGGCAUAAUUUUUUUUAUGGGAAUUUGGGUUUUCUUUUUUCUUUAGUGGUGAAAGUGGGAGCUUGAAGAUGAUGAGUUGGUCUUGUUAUUUUUAUUUAAAUGUGGGUGUACUGGAGGGUGUGAUGGAUCAUGGUUUUUUUACUCUCUUUUUUGGUUUUUUAAGAUAGAAUGUUUAGUAUUUUUUUUAUGCUAAUCCUCUCUAACUAAUUUCUCCCUUGUUUUAUAGUGUGACCCCCAUUUAUACUAGUAAAAAAAGAAGAAGUUGUUUUUCACUCUUAGGUGAUAAUCUAUUCCAUAGAUUAUAAUUGAGAAAUCGAAAAAUAAAAAAAAAUAAAAAAUUGAGAAAAUAAAAAAUAAAUUAUAAUGAAUGAUAAAUAGAUAUAAAAAACCUUGUUUUUUUUUUUUUUUUUUUUACCGUCCUACCGAUGAAGUCAAAUGCAGUUGCACUUAUGAGAACAACACGUUUGUCACGUAAGUUCCUCAUCAACUUCAUCCAAUUCUCUUUUAUUUUUGCAAGGGAACGCGUCCUCUCUAAAACUCACUGGUUUCUAUGUUAACGCCUUUUUUGGGUGGUGGAGAACUCUCAAACCGCGAAUUGGACGGACAAAUCCACGCUGAAGCCAUAUGACAUGUGAUGAUGACAAUUCGAAGCAAUCAUGCUGACCUCAACUGAUGGAUAACAAUCAACUUUAUGGAAGCAUCCCCUGACGUCACCAUGGGGAGCUUGCCUUCACUCUACUCUCUGUAAGUGGUUAUUUACUACUUACAGAGAGUAGAGUACCAUGGUUAUUUACUACUGCUGCUGUUUAUUUUGUUGCAGUCAUUUGUCCAAACAUAUUCUUUAUUUUAAAUAUACUACAAUUUUUAAAAUAAAACUAACAAAAAUAAGAUAUUCUACGUAACUCGAUUCAAGAAUCCCUGUAAUUGAUACAUUUAGCUUCUGCCUCGGAUAUUCGGUUUUUGGGCUGUAGUUAUUUAGCUUCGACUAUAUAUAUAUAUAUUUGGGGAUGCAAUUAUUGAGUCCCAGAUGCAUAGCUACUUGAGUUGUCAGCUAGCGUGCAUCGUCAGAAUAUAUAUUUACAAAUCUAACAUUUUGUUUUCCUAAAAUCACAUCAUUUUUGGUUUUAUCCAGCGCUGGUUCACAUGCCGUGGGUCCAAUCAUUGAUGCUGAACACGGACAAAGAUAAACAAAAGACUUGACCAUACAUUUUAAAAAUGCAUUUUUACUUUUCCAUGGGUUCAAUCAUUUUACAUUAUUAUUUUUCUGACAACGUCACAAAAUCAAUUCAUUUCAUGAUGGUGUGUGUGGCCUUUUUUUCUUCGUGAGUUUUUAUUUUUUUGUCGCUGGAUAGAGAGAAAAGGAUGGCUAGUUAUGGAGGUUUGAACGUUUUACAGUUGUUGCUAUUCAAUUUUUAAUUUAUAUUUUUGAUAAAUUUUCAGAAAAAUCAAAAACAGUAAAAUAACAAAGAAAAACCUAAAAAAUAUAUUUUUGAUGUAUUUGCAUUGUUUUUUGUAUUUUCAACGUCAUCUCAAAAGAAUUUAAUUUUUCAAAGGUUUUGAACGCGUUUAACUUUUAACGCGUUAAUUUUACAAUCAUUGAUUUUUCUUGUUUAGUCGACGUUGAUAUUACUUGCUUUUAAAAAUAAAAAAAAAUAAAAAAAAUCAAAAUUUAAAAAAAAAGAAAAGAAAAGAAAAGAAAAGAAAGAACGGAAAUAUUGGGGACUAUUUUGAAAACUUAACAACAAUGAUCCUAUAAAUACUAAGCUACAGUGAUAAUAAAAUGGAGGAGAAAAUUUUUACACGGGAGAAAAAUUCACAGGCAUGGGGGAAGGAAAUUUUGGGGGGAAACAAAAAGAAAAAAAACUAAACCUAAAAAACCCAUCUGCAGCCGCCCCUUCUCCUUCGAAAAAAAAAACCGGCCCCCCUCCCCUUUGAUCUUCUUCUCCCAGCACCAAGCAGCUGCUGCCAUUCCCUUCCGUUGGCCAAAAACAGAGAGAGGAGAGAACCCCAUCCCCCAACGCCAGCUUCCUUCUCCGUUGGCCCGACUAAGGCUCCCUUUAUAUAAAAAAAACCCUUUUUCUCCCCGAGAGCCGCCCCAGACGAUUUUCUUCCUCAGCCACAGCGCUGACCUCUCUUUUUUGAAAAAAAAGGAGGAGCAGGCCGCCUCUCCCUUGGAAAAAGAAAGAACCCAGCGUCGCCUGCCUUCUUUUGAUUUUCCAGCUCCAUUUGGUCUCCCCUCUUUCCCUGUUGAACCGGCUGGCCCCUCUCCCUCACAAAACCCAGAAGAGCGUCAGCCGCCAGCUCUCCUGGCCAAGCUACAGCCGCCUCCCUCCCUUGAGAAAGAAAAUCUAGAGAAACCCCUGCUUUGGGGGGGCUUUUGAUUUCCAGCUUCUUCCUCCCUUCAGCCGGGUAAGUCCCCCUCGUCCUCUGUCAAAAACGAGCCUUCACCCGAACCCCAGAUCAGUCCUUCCCUCUCAACACAGAACAGCCUCGCCCUCAACAAACAGCCCCAUCUUCCUCGACCAGAGAACGGGCAGGGCCGUUCCCCGUCUCUUCAGACCCACGGUCUUCCUCACCGGCAGCAGCAGUCCUUCCUCCAGCGGUGCCUAUAGAAGCGGCCUCAUCUCCGACCGAGAAUCAAUGGCCGGAACUGCAACCAGAGAGAAGCAGAUCCGAAACGGAGAAAAAUGGAAAGAGGCGCAGAUCUGAAAAUAAAGGAAACAAAAUAAAACCGACUGCUUGUGGUUUUUUUUUUCGUUGCAGGUCACGGUGUAAGCCACCACGGGCUGGGAACAGAAGAGAAGGGGAAACCGUUCUAGAGCCCCCUGCUUGCUGGACUUUCCAGCGGCGGCGCGAGAACCCAAGCGCCGCCAGUUACGGUGGCGCGUGGGAGGACGCGCCGCCACGAUUACAGCUCCCACGCGCCGCCACGAUUACAGCAGAUCCCAGAAGGCUUUCCAACAGUUUCUGGAUUUUUUUUUGGGUUUAUUUUGUAAUUUUUAAAUUGUAUUUGAUAUUUUUGUUAUUUUUUUUGUACAUGUAAAAAGGGGAUGUAUAAGAAAAAUAAUAAAAAAAGAGAUGGGUGUGUGUGUGUUUGUAAUUUUUUCUUUUAUGUAUAUUUUUGAAUUAGAAAAUACAAAAAGAAAGAAAAAGUAAUUAGAUGUUUAAUUUGAAUAUGGUUAAAUAUCUUAAAGGACAAAUAAAAUCAUGUUGUAUUUUCCAUGAAAAUAUAAGAACAAGUUUCUAUAUAUAUUUCUGGGAUUUAAUAACUGAUUUAUUAAAGCCUUAGAAUUUGAUUAAUAUCUCAAAUUUUCAAAUCACAUCAAACCACGGAGCAGCUUACCUCGGGUAGGUAGCGCUGGGGGUGCUGAUACCUUCCCUAGCCACAACUAGUCUCUUACCCUCGAAUCUCUGAUUAUGACCAGUAAAUUCGGGUUUUCUAGUAACAUCUGACUAAAUAUUAGGUGGCGACUCUCAAGAUCCCAAAUCAAGCAAAGGAACAAAAAUCGCUUGAAUCGCCGCACGGGUGACGUGCGACAGUAGUAAUGGAGGGCAUAAUUUUUUUAAGGAAAUUUGGGUUUUCUGUUUUCUUUAGUAGUGACAGUGGGAGCUUGAAGAUUAUGAGUUCUUGUUGUGUUUUAUUUAAAAGUGUGUGUACUGGAUGGUGUGAGGGUCAUAAGUGUUUUACUCUUUUAUUAUUAUUAUUGAAAUACCAAAUGAAAUAUAAUAGAAUAAUCUUAAUGAAAGAUCACCUAUUUAAAUGAGAGAUAUAAUCAUUUCUUUAAGAAUUUAAAAAAUAUUUAAUUAUUAAAAGUGCUCAUGAAUUCUAGAGUUGUUUAGGGUCAAAAUAAACAAAACUAUGAGAAUCAAAUGAAAUCUUUAUAUAGAAAACUAUAUAAAUAUUAUUGUCUUUGAUUGCAUUAAAAGUUAAAUAGUUAAAGACAAUAUAUUCAUUAAUUAAUCGAGUAAAUCUAAUAGUAUUUUAUUAAGAAGGUUCAAGCUAAAUAAUUAUCUUUCCAUGAAUCUUUAAGUUUUUAUAUACCGAUUUUAUUCUUGUGAGAUGUUAUUAGAAAUUUGUUUUAAAUGAUUAGUAAGUAUAUUUGAGGAUACGAGAUCCACUCAUAUUUAGUGUUCAAGCUUUAUUUAUAAUUAUUUUUUAACAAAGAUCUUUAAGAUAAAACAUUAAUGUGAUAAAAAUAAAUGAUAAAUUGAUUAUGAGAGGGAAUAAAGCGAAUCUGAAUCUUUUCCUUUGCAACCCUAUCUCGUACAAAAUGAUAGUCAACCUCAACAUGUUUAGUACGAGUAUGAAAGAUAGGAUUUGCAGAUAAGAAAGUAGCGCCUAGAUUAUCAUAUCAAAGUUAAUAGGAUCUGCUAAUAUUAAAUACCCAAAAACAUAUUUUGUUUUCUUUAGUAUUUGGGAUUACAAAUUUAUAUGUAAAAUGUCUUCUCGAUAUUAAAAAUAUAGCUCUUUUUAUUAAUGUUAGAACGGUUAGGUUUUACACGAUAAGAUAAGAACAUUCUCAUUUAGGAAGGCUUUUUUCUAAAACCUUAGACAAACCAACAAAUAGAAACACAUAACAAUACUUUAGAUUUGAUCAAAUAAUUAAAUAAUGUAGAUUAUCCUAAAUAAAACAUAAUUGGAGUACUAAUAUCUUUUAUUUAUACAACUAGUUCCUGUAUUUGAUUUUCAAAACUAAUUGGAGUUUUUAAUGAUUAAAAUAUAAAGUGAUGACUUCCAUUCUAUCUAUACCUCGAUAAAAGAUAAGGAAUUCUUAUCUCAUGAUUUUCCUGAUUUUUUUAGGAUAACGAACCUGAAUAUAUCAUCAAUAAUUAUAAUUUUUUUGACGUGUACAGCCAUCACGUGAUGGUUUCCGUGAAUCCAGGGAGGACUUAAUUUGGGGCAGCAGGAACUUACGAAGAAAUUCCGAUUUAUCUUGUGUGACCUACGUAAUGUAAUUUGAGAUCACUUUUAUAUUGUUGAAAAUAAAACGUGUUUCUUGCAUGUUUUCUACUUUGAUAAAAAGUACUUGUUAGAAGAUAACUGUGUAUAGUUCUCCUUUCAAGAAUUUUACAGCCAAGAGACUUUUCAUGGGAGAAUAGCAUAAAUAAUAUAUUCUGAAUAGAAAAUGGUUGAGCUAUUACAAGUGCAGAAGGCUAUAAUAUUUGAGCUGAAAUUUAUAUCCACAUGAAAUAAAGUCCUUGUUUGUUUGUUUUUUAUACGAAAGUAGAUCCAAUGAAAUUUAUAUCUUGAAAAUAACAUUCAAUUUUUGGUUUUCAAAGCAGCAUUACAGAAUGCUCUUUACCUGGACUGACGGUGGUUAUUAUUAUUACUUGACAAUGGUAACAAAAGAUGCUUAACAUAAACAAAGACUUGACCAUAAAUCUUAAAGAUGCAUUAUUACUUGUCAAUGUUCACUUUCCGAUUGGACCCAAGAAAUGAAGGGUAAGCUAUCAGCUUUUGGAUUUUUUAAAUGCAAAAGAUUGACGAAAGAUGCUGAACAUAAACAAAGACUUGACCAUAAAUUUUAAAGAUGCAUUAUUACUUCUCAAUGUUUAGAUUCCACGGGUUCAAUCAUUCAGCAGAGCCUUUAGCUGGGCAUAGAAGAGUUUUUUUAUAUAAAAUUCUCAUUCAAAUUUAAGUGAUAAUUCUUUUAUUUUACUACUUAAAAGUUGAGUCACCAGUUAAAAAUUUAUUUUUUCCGAGUGUGUAGGUGUAGAAUGAUUGUUGUUAUUGAUUCAAAAUAAAAAACUAACUCGAAAAAUGGUUUAAAUUAAGAAAUUAAUUUCUGAGAUAAACCAGUUAAUUCAAGUUAUUUUAGUUAAAAUAACAUUGUUUUUAUUUUGAUAAACAAAAUAUUUUUUCAUCAAUCCACUUUAUUUAUCCAGUUUAUGAAUAAACAAUCUGAAUAAUUACCUUUCACUUUAUAAAUUGUUUAUUUUAAUUAAAAAACAUCUGAUUUUUUAAGCAAAAAAUAUCAGGUUUUUUUCAUUCUUUUAUAGCACAUAAUUAAGACAAAACAACCAAAAUUAUUUCCGGCAACCACUAGAAUUAAUUAUGUAUCAAUCUUGGUUCCAAAAAUCAAGGUAAAAAGAAUGUAUUGCAAGUUACUUUUCUCGGGUAUUUUGAUAUUUGGACAGGGACAAUUUGGUAAUGUGAGGUAAUUGAUUCAGAGUUAAUAACUGUUUGAACGGUAAAACAAUAUCUUUAUAAAGAAUGUAUGUCGUCUCAAGGGAACCGCAUUGCAAGCUAAAGUAGUAAUGGCUAAGCUCUUUCCUAAGCUUGUUUCCUCUCUUGCCGUUCUUCUUCUUCUUUGUCAAUUUGGCUAUGUAGCCUGUCAACCACCGUUGCCUGCAGAUGAAGGUACACACGCACGAUAUACUUUUCCAUCUACGUAUAUAUCCUUUUCCUGCUAUAUACAAAAGAAGGAAGAAAAUUUGUUUAUCUGUUAAAUAUGAGCUUUUCCUUCAAUAUCUUCUCCCUAUCCAAGCAGAUGCUCUUCUCUUUCAGAUGACCCAAUUAAUAAUAAGUUAUGGACAAAGAGGGCUUUUUUUGUGUAGAUUCCAUGCAUGUCGCAUUGCAAACUAUAGUAAUGGCUAAGCUCUAUCUUAAUAAGCUCUUUCCUAAGCUUGUUUCCUCUCUUGCCGUUCUUCUUCUUUGUCAAUUUGGCUAUGUAGUCUGUAAAGCAACAAAUUUAUAUGACAUGCAUUAAUUGCCUGAAGAUGAAGGUACACACGAUUUCAUGCUUGUUGUUGACAGUUCAAUUUGCAUUAGUUCAAUUUACAUCAUUAAUGAGAUUUUUAAUAACAACCUAAUUAAUGCACACUACCUGUUUGAAUUUUGCUAAAAAAAAUGAUGUUUCAUUGUUGAAAACGUUUGGCAGAAAAGGCUUUGGAUGACUUGUUGAAAAAGUUAGAGUGGGGUUUUCAUCCAAACUCACACUUGCCUUGUUCCUCUAAUUCUGAAUACAUCAAAUGCGAUUGCACUACAUCCUCUUGUCACGUCACCCACCUGUAAGUUCCUAAUCAACUGCAUCCAAUUUUCUUUUAUUUUUGUAAGGCAAUACAUCCUCUUUAAAACUCACUGGUCGCUAUGGUUUCUAUGUAAACGCCAUUUUUGGGUGGUAGAACGCUCCCAGACCAGGACUUAACUGGAGAAAUAAAUGCUGAAGCCUUGGCUAGUCUCGUUUACCUAAAAGCAAUGUGAGUAUCAUCUGACAUGAUGAUAAUAGUUCGAAGUAAUUAUGCUGACUUCAAUUCAUUGAUAACUAUCUUAUUACCAUAACAGUGAUUUGUCCAAGAAUCAACUUCAUGGUGGCAUCCCUCUCACCUUGGGGAACUUGCGUUCACUCACCCGUCUGUAAGUGAUCCAGUACCAUAUAUGAUCAUAUACUACUACUACAGCAGUUUGGACAACAAAAGUGACUACUCGAUCAACUAUAUUAUUGAAGAAUAUAGUUACAGCCACUGUAUUCAUUAAUCUAAAAGUAUCUAAUUAUUGAAGAAAAAGAUGCAUAGUAGUUGAACGACGCAUCGUUUAAGCUAAACCCUACAAAUUAAAGUUUUUAAUUUAGAAUUUUAAAAACUUUAAUUUAAUCCUUAUUCUUUCAAUUUCUUUUAAUUUCACCCAUAAUUUUAUCAUGAACUUCUAAUUUCAUGUAGUUUCACUCAUGUCAAAUUCAAUUAUAAGCCCUAUAUUUGUGUGACUUUUACAAUUUAGUUAUUGUUUUCUGAUUUGUUCAAUUGGGUGACUGGAUGACCAUCAAACUUUUAAUUUUCUUUAAUUUGGGCCUUAAUUUUAAACCUUGUAAUCUUACGCACUUUACAAGUUGGUCAUCGGUUUUCAAUUUAUUCAAUAAAGUUCCUAAUGGCUCAUUAGAUUUCAAAAUUUAUGUAAGUAAACCUGAUUUGGUGUGCAAUUAUUGAGUUCCAACUGCAUACUCGAAAUUUGGAAGUGCAUAGAUACUUGAGUUUAGUAGUACAUAACAUAUGAGAAAGCAAUUGUCUAGCUAGAAGUCUGGCCCUGGCGAGAUGUUUUAAAAAAGGUUUUUUUUUUCGUGAAUAAACGAAUCGAUAUAAAAGUUCGGGUAGAUAAUUUAAUGGUUAGAGAAUUCUAUAAUGAAAGGAGUAUCAGAGAGUAAAUAAUUUCACUAAGCUAGUGUUAGUCUUGAGUACUGAUAAUAAGGAAAAACAUGUUUGCUCAUUUGAUUAGUCUUUGAAAGAUUCUAGAUAAAGAUAUGAUUAAAUAAUAGAAAAAAUAACAAUUAUUCUAUUUAUUAUAUUUUAAUAUAAACGUGUCGCAUAGCAACUAGAAAAUCUUAAUUAAUAUGCUAAAAGAUUAUCUAAAGUGACAUGUUUUUAUUUUAAAACUAAACUGAGAGAGUGGUUCUAGACCAAGACUUGAAAAUGACCAAAUCUCCACUUUGAUGAAUGUUUAUAAUUAAAAAUGAUAAAUUAAUAUUUAUAAUUAAAAAAUAGUAUUAAUAUCUUAAAAUAUUUACAUUUAUAAUUAAAAGAUAACAAUGGUUACGAAGAACACUAUUUAUUUUUAACGGGCCUACGUGGGAUUGCAUGGAUACGGCCCAAAUUUACUUAUUGGAUACAGAAAAUAUAUCAUAAAACUAAGUAAAUAAUUAUUCACACACAUUCAAACUAGACUAGAAAAUUCAAAUGAUAAAUUAAUAUUUAUAAUUAAAAAAUAAUAUUAAUGUCUUAAAAUAUUUACAUUUAUAAUUAAAAAUAAUAUUGUCACUAUGGGCGACUCCUAUGCUUAGAUUAUGUUUGACUAGACAACUGUUUGACUAAAUAAUCGGAAUAGUAUAUUGGAAGGGAAUUGUCAAGGACACAUAGAAUCCAAAUUAUAACAUUUUGUUUAUAGAAAUUAAAUAGGCAUUGUGCAUUAAUCAAUACUCGCCUAUUGUUAAUGCAACAUCCCAGGAAAACCACACAAUUAAAGUCUUUUAUUAAUUGGGUUGAUUUUGUAUAAACGACAAAAAAAUUCAAGACAUGAUUAAAAAUAAAUCCUGUUCUUGGAGAAAUGAUGCCAUCAAAAUUAAACUGUAGAAACAUGACAAAUUAAGUCUUUUAUUAAUUGAUUUUAUUACGUGAUAGACAAAAGAAUAAGACCCGACAAAACAUUUUUUUAUCCUGAAUUGAUUUUUGAAUUAAAAAAAAAAACAAUUUAUACAUAACAUAAACAAACGACAAACAUAAAAAAGACAUAGUCGUGUGCUAACUAUUUUUGUUUUUCCAUAGGCAACAUUCAAAGGAUAAGACCCGAUAAUGAAUCUUUUUUGUCCUGGGUCAAUUUACAUAUAAAUAAACAAUUAAAUUAUUGGUCAGCGUGCAGAUGAAUUCCAACCAUACUCCCAAAAUUAAAAUACCAGCAAAGAAAUCAAAGCAUUGUUCGGAUCAAUCCCGUAUGGCAAUCUCGAAAUUGUGAUCAAUCCAAGGUCGGAUAGAAAACAACAUAUCAUUAAUUAUUAAAUUAAAGUCUUUAUUUAAAAUAAUUAAUUUCAAUAGUUAAUUAAAAAGGCAUAUAUAUAUAUAUCAAAUAUAAGUAUUCCAAAUAAUUUUAUAAUCUUUUAAUAAUUAAUAGUAAAAUAUGUAAAUAUGUUAAAUUAAAUACGAGUAUAAUUUUUUUAUAUUGUUUCAUUAAAGAGGAAAAAUAUAUUACAAGUAUAAUUUAGAUGUGUGUUUGAAAAGGUAAAAAAAUAAAUAAAAAAUAAGUGCCCUCCCAAAAAUACCAGCAAAGAAAUCUGCAUUGAUUCAUCAUUUGAUGUUUGUAAUCUUUUGUUAUAUUUCCAUUAAUGUUAGGUGAAUGUCUUCCCACUUCCCAUAUGCAUAGCGAUCUCUCCGAAAACUUUCGUAUUGGAUGUCUGUAUAGUUAUGUGCAAAGAGCAGCUUAUUAGCUUUUGGAUCAUAUACAAUAACUAAUUUCAGUUCUUAGUGUUUCUUCAUAAAAUUUAUAUUAUUGGUUCUUAGUGAGGAAUAAUUAAUGAACUUAUAUGGUAAUACAUAUGCACAGCGAUCUCUCUACAAACUUCUUCAAUGGCUCCAUACCUUCAUCCUUGGAGAAUUUGUCGUCCCUCGAAUAUCUGUAAGUAUCAUGUAAUCACAGUUUUUAAAGUUUUCCUAAUCAAGGAUUUAGAUUUCAUGCUUCAAAACUAAAUUUAUUAUUUCUAUUAUAGUUAAAAGCAAACUAUCCAUCAUCAAUUAUUAUUAUUAUUUUUUUAAAUGGCACUAACCAAAAAGUUUGACUUGGGUAUCGAAGAACAUCCAUUUUUACAUGAAUUAUAGGAGAACAUCUUGGAUAUUUGGGUUUGAUUUUAUACCAUUGCUGUUCUUUUAAAGAAUAAUAUAUAAUGAUAAGAAAAGAGCAUACAAUUUGUAACUUCUGUUAUCAAGAGUUCUAUGAAAUUAUAGUCUCAGCAUGCAUUUUCAGAAUAUAUAUAUAUAUAUAUAUAUAUAUAUAUAUAUAUAUAUAUAUAUAUAUAUAUAUAUACAAAUCUAACAUUAAUUUUUGUUUUCUAAAAUCACUUCUUUUAAAUUAUAUUCCAUUAAAUAAUAGUUAAGAUCUCAUUUUCAUUCGGAGAAUAAAGUGUUUAGUACUACAUAAUUAUAUUAUAAUGGUGAAAAUUUGAGUUAAGAACUCAAAUUUGCUUCAUUAAAUUAAAGAAGCUAUUGAAUAGACAAUUGAUAGAUUAUACUUGUAGUUGUAAUAGUUAAGAUUUUUUAAUAGAAUUUUUGGGGAAACAUUUUCAAGUAAAAUUAGCUUUGUUAGAAAUUAAAAUAAGGGCAAGCCGUAUGGGGUCUUGAUACUUAUAAAUGUUCAUGGCGAGGUGUUAAUGGUAUAGUUAUUAAACACGGAUCGGACUUGUUGGUUGAUCCAGAACCUGCUUGACUCGGUUGUUGAACCGGUCCGGGUAAGAUAAAAGACUGGAAUGAGCAAAAACUCGACAAAACCCAAUUAAGAUCUUUUUUUUUUAGUUGGUUAUUAACCAUUUUUAAAUUUUAGUAUAUAAAUACUAAAAAAAUACUUUAUUUUUUCAAUGUCAGAUUUAAAGUCUUUUAAUAUAUAUAUUAUAUGUUUAUAAGAAAAAAUUAAGUCAUGUUUUUUUAAUGUGGGAUAAAAAAUAUUUUGAAAUAAUAUUUUAAAUUUUAUUAUUUAUAACAUGUAUAACUUAUAUUCAAAUUGAUUGUUUAUAAAAAAUUUCAAAUGAAAUAUGAAAAUUUUAAAUAUUUUUUUUUCUGGGUUAAUUCGGGUCAACCAGUGUAACCCGAGACUCGGCUUCUUGGCUGGGUCAACCCCGGGUCAGGUUUUAUAACUAUGGGUAAUGGUCACAAAAAUUAACUUCUUAGUUCUGUUUGGUUCUCUUCUCUUAUGUAAUUAGGAUAGUAGCCUUGUUUGGCUAAUUGCUUAACUGUGUUAAUGCUUGUUUGGAUAUCUGCAUGGUUAUGAGCAAAGAGCUGCUUAGCUUUAGGAUAAUAUAUAAUAACUAAUUUCAGUUCUUAGUUUGUCUUCAUAAAAUUUAUAUUAUUGGUUCUUAUUUGAGUAAUAAUGAACUUAUUUGCAUAGCCGUCUCUCGAGAAACUUUCUCAAUGGCUCCAUACCUUCAUCUAUGAGGAAUUUGGCGAAACUCAAAUAUCUGUACGUGUCAUCCAAUCACAGUUUCUUUAAUAUCAUAUAAUGUCAAUUAAAUUCUUUUUUCAUUGCUGAUGCAAGUUUUGUGCUCUUAUUCUUGUGGGUGUUUUCAGGAGUUUGUCAAGUAAUAAGUUAUUAGGUCAAAUCCCUAAAGAAUUGGGCGACCUCUCUAGUCUCCGAUAUAUGUAUAGAAACUCGCUCGCUCGCUCUUUCAUUCUCCUUGAAUUUCCUUUUAACUUAUUUAGUUUGGUUUGGUUCAUAUCUCUUAUUUAAUUAGGGACUUGGGCUUCAAUGAACUCACUGGUCAGCUUCCACCACAACUUGGAAGAUUGAAAUCUCUAUAUCAUUUGUAAGUUUCAAGAAGAAUAAUAAUAUCAUACCACCUUGUAAAACCACGGAAGAUAGAAAGAGGAGAAAUAAAACAGAAAAAAGGUGGAUUACAAUCCUUUUGAUUUGUUGUUGUAGAGAUGUGGGCUCCAACAAUUUGAGUGGAGAACUGCCGGGAAAUUACGCCGACUUUAGUACUUGGGAUCAAUUGCGGUGGUUGUAAGUGCAACUCAUCAUGUUAUUUCAACCAACAAUCUGUUUAAUUAUUGUUCCAAGGAAAAGUAACUAACUAUGGCUGCAGUAGCGUAGCUGGGAACCGUUUGACCGGUCAAGUUCCAAGGUUCAUUGCGAAGUGGACUGGACUCUCUUACCUGUAAGAAAUUACUUUUACUUUCUGUAAUCAUACACGUGAAAGUAAGCAAUAUUAGUUGAUUGAGCUGAUUUCUCAAUGCUGAAUGUCUACCUCCAACCAUUUGAGCAGAGAAACUGUCGAUGAAUAUCAUUCAAUAAUUUGUCUUUGUGUGUACUGAUUUCAGGUCCCUCUCCGGGAAUGAUUUUGAAGGACAGCUGCCUCUUGAACUUCUUUUUAACUUGCCAAAUCUCCAAUACUUGUAAGUGUUCUAUAAUUUUAACCGGGUUGAAAUAAAUGCAUGUUUUAUUCUGGCUGGUUUUUCUUCCAGGUUUGUUAGUGAUGUAAGAAGCUCCCGUUUCCCACAAAAAGCAAAUAUGCCGAAAAUAAGAUACCUGUGAGUUUUUCCUUCCUUUGCUUUUCUUUAAAGCUUACACUAAGGGCAAAAGCUCACAUGCAGUACUAACUUGAGAUUUGUAAUUAAAAAGGAAAAAAAGAAAAGAAAAGAAGAAUGCCUGAAACUUCCUUGGUCCGGCCAAUGAGCUUAUAGCUUAACUGUCACCAACAUCACCACUCUUCACAUGCAUUAACUUUGUUAUAAUUUCAAAGUGGCAAAGCCAAAAUGUUUUGAGAUUGUGGUUGUAGAAUUGUGGAUAUGGUAUAAAGAUUAAUUUCACAUUGAAUAAUAAAAACCAUGCACACUUGGAAUUAUAUUUGUCUGGGAGUGUUAUUGUUGUAGAAUUUGGAUUAUAUUUUUUUUAGGCCUAUUUUUCUUUAUAUUAUCUUGAGUUUUUUGUAUGAGCUAUUACAUGCUGUGAAGACUAGUUGUAUCUGGGAUUCAGGUUUGAGAAUUAAUAUAUAUAUAUAUAUAUAUUAACGACUAUAGUAAAUUUAUCCUGGAUGUAGGCAUAACAGAAUCGUGAAGUCACAAAGUUGUGUUUUAUAUUUUUUUUGUCAAUAUUUAUGUACGUGACUCUUAAUGAUAUGUAUGCAUUGGAUAGAUCCAAACACCAACAUCUUCAAUGAUUUGUGUAGGAUGAUAAGGAAUUGCUCAAUAAGUGGUGAAAUCCCCCCGUACAUCGGUGAUUGGUCAUCGUUAACAUACCUGUAAGUUUCAUUUCCUCUUUUGUAAAGGAUUUGUAGUUCUAUUUUGAUUUUGAUUAUGUGUAUAGAAGUGUUUACAGAAUCAACUAUGCAAUAAUAGACCAUAGCACAACUAUAUAUCAAAUAUGUAGGAUAACGUUUGCUUUCAUUUUAUUGAUCCUGCAGAGACUUGAGCUUUAACAUCUUAACUGGUCGAAUACCAGAUUCCAUGAAAAAGCUGAAAUUAAGUAAGAUGUAUGCAAAAGAGAUUCCUUGAACUCGAUGUCUUAUAAUAAGUUCGUUCUGCCACUCUGUUAAAAAGUACAUGGGAUGGUUUUCAUACUGGUUUUGUUUUGUUUAGGUUUCUCACAGGGAAUAUGCUGAAUGGCCCAGUACCUUCCUGGGUUCCUGAUACCAUUGAAGACAAGGCGUAUGUUAUGGCUUUGUGCUCUUUGCUCAGAUGGGUUGUUUUCCCUUUUGUAGAUUGCCUCAAUAAAAUCUUGAUAUGUAAACAAUAAUGUUGCAGGGACUUGUCAUAUAAUAAUUUUGAAAUUCCACGUGAUGGUCCGAAGAAAGGAGAAGGAAAGCUGAACAUGUAAUAACGGCAACUUCAUUUUCUUCCUCCUUUUUUUUCACUUGCAAGAAUAUUGUUGUCUAUGAAAUUCCAACUUCUGAUCAUUUUGUAUCAUGUGCACCAACUGCUUGCAUAUAUGUUGUUCCUACUCAAGCAGUGAACCAAACAGGUAUGGUAAUAUCCUCCAUAUGGUGCAAUUAAUUUAGAACAAAUAAUCCUGAGCUAUUUCUUACAAAUGUUGUUUGCUAUUUCUAGGAUUUCUAUACGUGAUUUGACAGAUAAAUGUCGGCGGAAACGAAAGUGUAAGCUCUAUUGAGAAGCUCUUAAUUUUGCGCAGGACAGAUUUUCUGUACUGAUUAUCAUUUUUUGCAGACGAUUCCUUAUAUAUAAAUUGUGGAGGAGGAGGCACAGUUUUUGAUGGGAAAGAGUUUGAAGCAGAUAGUGCAACAUCAAAUUAUUAUUCAGCUCCAAGAAAAAAUUGGGCUUAUUCUUGUUCUGGAGACUUCGGAUCGAAAACUUACGAUUCCAGUGAUUACAUAAAAAACGUAGAUUGUGGAGUUUGUGAUUCUGCUGCGACACAGUUAUACAACUCAACUCGCCUCUGCCCUCUUUCUCUGACAUAUUACGGCUUCUGUUUAUCUAAAGGAAAUUACACUGUGAAACUUUACUUCGCUGAAACUGUUUACCAAAGUGAUGAAGAUUAUUCGAAUUUAGGGAAACGUGUUUUUGAUGUAUAUAUACAGGUAACCGCUAUAUUUUUCUGCAGCUUCUUUAAAAAAUUUCCAUCGUUAAACCUCCACUGUUUGAUAUAGGGGAACAGAACACUUAAAGACUUCAACAUAAAAGAAAUGGCCAACGGCACCAAUAAGACAUGGAGCCAAGAUUUCCCAGCAUAUGUAGGAGAUGAUCAUCUAUUGACUAUCCAUUUUUUCCGGGCUGGCAAAGGAACUUUCCUGGAGCCAAGAGUUUUCAAUUCACCUGCUGCACUGUCUCUAAAUGGACCCCUUGUGUCAGGCAUUUCCGUAACUGCAAGUAAAGAGUUGCAUUCUCUUAAUUUGUUGAGCAAAUAUUUCUGCUACCCUUUAUCUGGAUAAAUAAUUUUUUCUUUCUGUCUUCCACUAUUUGUAUCCAGAGUUCAAAGUUGGUGGCAAGGGACUAUCUCCUUCACAAAUUGCAGGGAUUACUGCAGGUUCAGUAUUUGCUGCUAUACUUCUGUCGGCUUACAUGUGGAAAAUGGGCUUGCUGCAGCAAAGCUAUUUGGGUGGUAACUCUCUAUGCUAAUCUAAAAUCAUUAUGCACCAUACAACCUUAAGAAUUCUUACUUUGAUGUUUUCUUCAAAUAGAUAAACCUAUACAGGUCCAAAAUGAAGGAGGUCAAGGAGAUGGAGAAUCUUUCACCCUCAAAGAAAUAAACGAUGCUACUCGAAAAUUUAGCCCCAAAAUGAAGAUUGGCGGGGGACGCUUUGGAAUAGUAUACGAGGUCAGAUUUUCUUUUUUGAAACAUUUGUUCCUCAACAUGCACUUUUUUCUUUCAGAGUUCUGGUAACUUGAUUUCACGUGUAUGCAGGCUGAAUUGCCGAACAAGAGAAAAUUAGCAGUGAUGAAGAUUUCUCCUCGUUCAAAGCAACAAGGAAAAGAUGAAUUACAAGGGGAAAUCUCCAAACUGAAAUCUUUGGAUCAUGAGAAUCUUGUUCAAUUAUUGGGUGACUAUUCUAAUAAAGAUCUGCAUCUGCUACUAUAUGAAUAUAUGCAGAAAGGCUCCCUUCAACGUGCGUUGUUCGGUAAUACUGCCAUCAACCAAUUUUCAUCCUGCUCUUUCGAUUCUCAAGUUUUAUCUUAAUUUUCACCUAAUGCAUUGCCUUGCGAAAUUCAUAUAAUUGUUGAGAACUAUAACACAGGAGUAAAUAGAAUUCCGUCACUUAAUGUUUGUGAGAGCUUCUAAUUGUAUAUUUAAAUCUUCUGUUAGUACAAGGAUAAUGUACUUGCAAAUAUCAUUAACUUAAUAUCAAUAAUCUUGAUUUGUAGAACCAAAUUCCACGACAGAACUUGAUUGGAAAGCUAGAUUUGAUAUCUGUCUGGGAAUAGCAAGAGGUUUGAAGUAUUUACAUGAAGAGAAAAGGAUUGUUCAUGGAAACAUAGAGCCUGGUAAUAUUAUGCUUGAUAACUCUCUUACGGCCAAGUUGUCUGCCUUUGGAUUGGCAACGCUUUUUGAUGAGGAAGAUCCAUUUAUGACCAACGAAGAAAAAGAGUCGCGGUAAGUAUUAUGAUCAUUGAUUGACAACUACUUUCAUUCUUUUAAUUAAGAGCUAAUUAACCAAUAAUUAAUCUCCUAUUGCAGAGUUUACAUGGCACCUGAGUAUUCAAUGGGAAAAGCAAUGGAUACUGUUAAAGCUGAUGUUUACAGUUUCGGAGUUGUCCUACUCGAAAUAGUUAGUGGGACAGUUAGUGCAGAAUAUACACCUAAUCAAGAAGAAGCUAAGUUUCUUCUGGAUAAAGUAAGUGUAUCUGACAGGAUAAACCCUCUUAUUUUUUUAUUUUUUUGUAGUUAUUAUCAAACCAAACAUGUUCUGCCAACAUUAGAUGACUUGUGAAUUCUACAACAAGCUCACAGGAGAAAUUUAUAAUAAAAAAGUAUAUUAUUAUUUAAUAAUUUGAAAUAUAUGUUAUACUCAACUCAAGCAAGAUUUAUAUAAUCAUAUAACAAGAAACAUAAAAAAAAUAGAAUAAAAUAAACUAUAGAAAAAUAUUUUUGAUUAGAUGAUUAAAUUUAUUUCUUGAUUACCUAGAGCUGUUCAAUUCCUACUCUUUUUUUUUUUAAUUAAUUAUUUUCUUAACACAUCCCCUCAAACUCAUGAUAAUUUUAUUUUUAUUGAGUUUGACAUACACAACUUCUAUUGUCAUUAUAUGCUUAUCUUUAAUAAUUGUAUUUUUCUAAACAUAGCUAUUAUUAGUUUUUUUUUUUUAUUAUUAUUAUUCUCAUAUGCUUGUUGCUAUACUUCUCUAGCCAAACAUUUCUUUUCAAAAUUUGAUUUUUCAAGUGCUUAUUUUAUUUUGACUCACUCUUAGUCAAAGUAAUAUAUUCUUCUUAUCAUGGCUCCUUAGCCGUUUUCUAUCUCUUUUGUUAGGAAGAACUUCUUUUUUUUUUCUUUUUUCUUUUUUUUAUUAUAGGUGGUCUCUUUUAUAGUAUCUCUUGUGCAAAAACAUAUCAGCUUGCACUAAGUCUUUUUUCUUUUUUCUUUUUUUUUUCUUUUUGCAUGUCUUUAUGUUGAUGUAGAAUCUCAAUUUUCUUGUUGGACUUUGUUGUACCUCCAUUGUUUUUAAAAUUCUUUGGAUGUUAUUUGAUCAUCCACAUGAUUUUGAAAUAAUUUCUCCUUAUAUGAGUUGAUUUAUCAUUGAAAAGGAAUAGUAAAUUAAAUAUUUGAUCGAUAAUGAAGAGUUUGAAAACAAAGUGUUUUAAAAUGAUUGGAUUGAUGGCAUAAAAUUGUCCAUCAAAAAAACAAAAGCUAAUCUUUAGAGCAGUAUAUAAUCAACCUGCUCUGAUACCAAAAAAAGAUUUAAAAUAUAAAAGGAUAUAUAUUAUUAUUCGAUAAUUUAAUACAUGUGUUACAUUCAACUCAUGAGGAGUUUAUAGUCAUAUAACAAGACCUAUAAGUAAAUGGAAUAAAAUAAAUUAUAAAAAAUAUGCUUGAUCAUCUCCUUUAAUUGGAUGAUAAAAAUAAUUUCUUGAUUGCUUAGAGUUAUUUAAUUCCUUGAUUUUUUUAAUUGAUUAGAAAAUAAUAAGUAAUAAUUACUUGAUUAUUUCAUUAAUACUGGGAGCUAAGCUAAUCUUGCUUUUCAAUUGCAGGCAGGUGUUUUGAACGAUAAGGGAAGAAUCAUUGAAUUGGUGGACCAGAAAUUAGAAUCCAAUUACAACAAAAGGCAGGCUCUCAUUGUUUUGCACCUGGCAAUGAAGUGCGUUAAUCCGUUUCCUACUCUCAGGCCUAAAAUGUCCGAAGUCGUCAAUGUACUUGAAUGUGAGAAAAGCCCUCAACCAAUUACUCUAUCAAUAAAUAUUGGAGGACUGUACGGAACGAUUUCCAGGCUGUUGGAAUAGAUCUAUUUUCUUAGAUAAUUGGUAAUGUUAAGUUUGAUGAUGAAAACCUUUUGCCUCCUCUUCUUUAUUUUGUAAUUACUUUGGUCUAAUUAUGUGGUGGUGACAAGAGAACAUUGAUGUGUGCGUGAGAGACUCCAUGAAAAAAUAUGUGUGUUUGUUUUGUUUGCUAUGAUUUAUUUAUGUUGUUAUGGCUGCUGGUAAUUUCGUGAAUUGAAUAAUAUUAUUAUUUGGCAUCCUUUAUAUAUAGCCUGUAUAAAGGAUAAUUUUAUGGUAUUAUCUACUUUACAAACUCAUUAAAUUUACGCAACUACAAUUUUAAUAUUAAAUAUUGGAUCAUAUUUUUAUUUUGGAUAUUGAUCUAAAAUAAUUACAUUUGGAUCAAUAAAUCUAACAUAAUUGUAAAACUUGAUAUAGAGUUGAUCAAGAUAAGAUACAGGUUAUGAAUUAAAAAGAUCAUCCUCAAAUGUUUUUUUUUAAUAUGAUAAAAAUCAUAUUUUUCUUUUAUAAAAUUAUUUUUAAAAAUUGAGGGCCGGGUGUUGACCGAUCAAUAAGUUAACUUAAAAUUUUUUUUAUCAAAUCAACUGAAUUAUUUAUUUAUUUAAUUUAAACCGCUCCAAAUUCUAAAUUAAUUAAAUUUCAGAUUAACCUAUAGGGUGAAUCCAAGUAGUAGCAUUAUAUUGUCUAUUUAUGAAAAACUCUUAAACUCUUAAACUUGGACCAGUUAGAUACAUAGGUAGAUGUAAAAGGUAUACUUUACUUUUUUGUAUAACGAAAAUAAAUACAAAUAAAAUUAUGAUACAUGAACAUUAAACGUCUAAAGAGACUUUUUUGGUAUAAAUAUUGCAUCAAUGUCGAAGCUAAAUGAUUGUCUUAGGAUACUUUCAUGAAUAAGACUAAUUAAAAAUAAAUUUGCUUUCCAAACCUAAGAAGUUUGAAUGGAAUAAGUCCCUUUUAUUACAAUCUGAACUUACCCCUUGAUAUUCCCUGCACAUAUAGCUGUUAAUAUUAAAUUUUUUUAAAAUGGAUUAGAUCGAUUACUGGAUAAUUACGUUAUGCUACUAGCCGAACAAAAAAAAAUGUAUAAAAAAAUGUUUAGGCAACGAGUAAUAUUCUGAUAAUAUUAUUAAAUUUAGAGAAAUGAUUUAGUUUUGAAUUCUUUUUAUUUAAUUCAAAUUUCAAAUCAAAAUCAUGUUAGAGUUAAUUUAAUAAAAUAUAGUGAAUUUGACAGGUAAAAUAUUAACCUAAAUGCCAGAUAAAAACUGACUUUGAAAAUCUUUUUUAAAAUGACAAUUUUUUUUUAAAUUGAAAUAAUAAUAUAUAUAUAAUUAAAUUAAUUUAUUAAAUUCAUGAUCCAAACAAAAUUGUUUUAAAACCUAGACUAGCCGAUAAAUCAGCCUAGACCCAGUUAAUCUAAUCUAUGAAUGGAGCCAUUCGAGUUGAAAAAAAAAUAAAAUCAGCUGACCUGUUUAACUAACUAUCACACCGUUGAUGAAUUUUAUUUUUUUGGAUUUUUUAUUAAAAUAUUAUUUUUAAAACUAUAAUAAACAGUGCUUUUGUGAGACGGUCAUAGUGAAUUCCCCUCUUUUGUAAUUUUUUUUAUAAUAAUAAUAAUAAUAGAGAAAAUGAAGACGUAAGAAAAAAUAGCACUGUACUGUAAGUAUUUAGCGGUUAGUGACACGGUAACGACUGGCAAUCUGUUUAUGCAGAGCCCAAAAAACCAUAACCGUCGAAUCAAGCACACAUUUUGACCAAGAUCCCAUAAAAACCCAAUAAUCCAAAAGCAAAAUUGGUGGCUGAAAUCAAGUAAACCGUGAACCCUUUUCGUAGAUAGAAGGCAAAAUCGCUUUCUUGUGUUUUUGUGGGGUUUAUAAAGGGAGGAAAGAUAGGAAUCUGCGUGUCAAAACCAUCUGCCGCAGCAGCAGCAGCCCGGGAGGAGGUAGUGGUGAGGAGAGUAUUGCCACCGCCACAAUCACCGGCGCCGGCAGCGGCAGUAGCGACAAAGGGAUAUUCUGGGCUGUUGAGUAAUUCGAAAUCGGGACAUCCAGUGCGGAGGACUCCUGUCGAUAUAGUUAGACAGACUCGCGAUCUUUUAAUCUAUGCCGAUCAGAGUUCAGCUUCUCUAUCAGAUUCAAAACGAGAAGAGAAGGUUGGCAGUCUCUUUCUUAUCAUUUCUAUAUAUUUUAUGUGUGCUUGUGUUCCUUUUCUGUUGUUUUCUUUUAAUUAGGUGGAUUUUGAUUGAUUUGAGAUUGUUUGGGGUCUGGGUUGCUUUUCUUUUUUUGCUUUGGAUGAGAAAGGUUCAAUCUUUAUGAAAAAAUUGCGUUUUUUAGGGUGAUUCUUGAUGUCUGAUUGAGGUUUGGAUUAGAGUAUGCUAUAAUAUGCUGUGAUAUUUACAUAGAUAGGAAGAAAUAGUUAAUUUUCUGAGUGCUAAUGUGAUUGCAAAGAGGUUAGUUUGCUGGCCAAGUUUAACUUGAAUGUGGUUGGGUGUGCUGUGAGAGGAAUCUGAUAUUACUGGCAGUUGGUUGGGUGUAAAGGUUUUAGCUUUUUAGUAGCUUUAGUAGUCAAGGGAGUAAUUAAAAGUGGAAACUUUGAUUGUAGGUUUGUGAAUUUGGUGUGAUCUGUGGCGCUAUAUGUGUCAUUGAUUUGUUUCAACUAGUUUGUUCACAAUAAAAGAAUUAGAUUAGUGUUGUUGAAUUUUGGUGAGUGUAGAUGUAAGAUUGCGAUGAACAUGCAUUAGGGUUUUGAAGCUUCUGUCAAGCAUUUUAUUUGUGGAAUUCGAAUUUGACAAUUGUAUUUUCUAAUACAGAUGGCAGAGUUAGCUAAAAAUAUCAGGGAGUUGAAGUAUUUUCUAAAAAUUUUAUUUGUCUUUAUUGCAUGUUUAUGAAGUUUUUAUGUUUCGGCCUUGUAUUUGCUAUUAGUUGAAGUGUGAAUCUGAGACUUUUAUAUUGUUUUGUUGCAGGAACUAUUGACAAGACAUAAAUCUACAGUAGCUGAAUUUCUUUCUAAGAACUAUGAUUGGGUGAGUUCUGCUGUUACUUAUGUUUAGAUGCUAACUUGUACAGGUUUAUACUUGUUUCUGCUAUGUAUGCCUUAGGUCAUCCCACACACACAAGGUGGUGGAUGAUAGGCAUGCCCAAUCCUCUUGUUUUCUAAAGAAUUUGUAGGCAGAGCAGUAUUUUGGUGAGAAAACUUGUGGCUGAGAUUAGAGAAAGAUGAUGUGCAGAUUUAAUUAUCUGGUGAUGCAUUAAUAACACGAUAUCGUGACUGUGCAAUGAUGGAGACAUAAAGCAGAAUCUAAACCAAAAUCGUAUAAAAGUAAUGUAAAGGUUUUAAGCUCUAAUGGUUUUUUUUUAACACCCAAAUUCAAAUCCUAUAUACCUAUAGAUACAUAUGUGCGCAUAUAUUGCCUCAGUUAUGCACGCACUGACACUGUAUAAUGGGGCAUACCUGAUCCUCUAUAGUUUUUUCAAAGAAUUUGAAGGCCAACAAAAGUGUUAGCCGGAAAACCUUUGGUGAGAUUAGAGAGGACGGUUUGCAAAUUUAUUUUUCUGGUAAUGCAUUAAUCAUCUCAAAAUAUUGUGGCUCUGCAAUGAUGGGGCAUAUAAAGUAGAAUCUAUUACUCGACUCUCUGAUGAAUUGAGCAGCUUUAUCUCCUCAUUUUUAUAGCAUUCUUCUUUGCUUUUUUAAACUGCAUGUUGGUAGCUACAUAUCUAUGACAAAAACAUGAAUUGCAACAUUCUAAAUGUGUCUUUAUUUCCUGUUGUGGUCAUGCUUGCUAAAUGUUGGUCAGAGCUUGACAUUGUCUAACUUUGUAUGGACUUCAGUUUUUUGCUGAAUUUAAUUCGAAGCUGCUAGAAUCCACCAAUUACAUUACAAGACGACAAGCUGUCAAGGUAGGGAAACUUAAUUAUAUCCCGCUCAUAUAUCAUUAGAACAUUCAAUGAAGCAAUUCUCUAGGCAUCUGAACCUAGGAAAAUGCUUUCAUUAAAAUGUGCUUUGUUAUUGUCAUUGAUAAUUGUACUAUUUAUUAAAAAGGCUUCUUUAAUUGUGACAGCUGUUGGGAGAUAUAUUAUUGGAUCGUUCUAAUGCAGUUGUGAUGACACGAUAUGUGAGCCUAGAGAGUAGUCAUGAAAGAGCUUGGUUGUUUAUUGUAAUUAUUUUACAUAAAUUGUAGCUCUCAUAGCGAUCUGUGGUAAAAUUACAUGUAUUGAAAGGAAGAGAGAAAUAAAGAGACAUGAAUCGAGUUCAAUCCAAUACUCGGCUUUUAGAAACCCUGUUAGAGAGCAUGUUCAUGUUUUUGUGAACCAUGUCCUCUAUUGGAAGCCGUCAUUAUUCAGCUUCACCGUAUGUUCAUUCCCCAUGGUAACCUACUUGAAGCCAUAUAGGUCUCCCUCUCCAUAUGUACACAGACUUAUGUACAAGUUACGAGUCCUUGUUCGAGGGAGUGCGGACGUAAAGUUGCUAUAACUCUUGUCAAUGGUAGGAGUCUGAACCAAGUCUCAAGUGAGGAGAGUAGGCAGCAGUCGCAUGUUACUAGAUUCCCACCGCCAUUAGGGGUCCUCCGUUACACCAUUUGACCGUAUACAGAGUAUCAAAGGACAUUCCUCAGCAGAACCUACUGAGGAUGAUAUGAUAGGAAGCUUCGUUUGGUGGGCCACAGGGUAGAGAAUUCACACCAAAAUUCUUUUCUUCUUGCCAGGAAAGGAGUCAUUUUCUUUAUUAUUAAAGAUGAGGCCUCCAUGUGUGAGUCACGACUCACGAGUGAACAUCACCAGCAUAUUCCAAGCAUCUACUUCAAUUCCAAAACCAGAAUGUUCUCUGCUGCUAUCACUUUUUAUCCUACAUCUAAGAUCCGGUUCAGUAUAUAGGCUAACCUCGUAAUCCGAGUUAAAUAGGUGGAACAACCUAUUAUUUUUUAUAAAAAAAAUAAUGUUAUUUCAAAUUUUAUUUAUUAAUAUAGAUUAAUCCAUCCAGUAACAUUAACCUUCAACUAAGUUGAUCCUCGAUUCGUUACUGUAACUAUGUUUUUAUUGCCAUAAAAAGAAGAUGCGUUUAUCAUCCGAAUUUACUUUCCACCAUAUUCAUUUCGUAUUCUCACGGUAUCUGAUUUUAAUGCUUUCAUCAGCAAUCACUGAGUUUGAUGCUGGGUUUUUUUUUUUUUUUUAAAGAAAUGUAAGAUUUUAGGUAUUUUAGUUCUAGGAAAACUACAAAUAUACCCCCAGUUAUUAGGGAGGUUUUAAUUUGGUCCCUAUCUUCCUAGGCUCACCAAUGAUGCCCUCCAUCAUUCAAAAUUGAGCAAAUCUCUUUCCCCAUCAUUUGGAUGUUAAUAUUUUCUUAUGUUAAUAUUUUCUUAUGUUAAUAUUUUCUUAAUUUCAUAGGAAAACUCAAGAGUAACAAUAUGACGUAGGGGAAGAGUAGCCAUAAAAAAGGGUUAAAAGGACUCAAAAGGCACCACUAAAGGACUUCCUUUUUCACCAGGAAUUUGAUGCAAAAAGUACACAGACUGGGUGAAAAGGCAGAUUCUUCAGCAUAUAUAUGUAUAAAGAGAGAGAAAAACAGAAAUCAAACGGUCCAUUUUGUGGUUUGCCUGCUGCUUCCUUUUAGACGUAAAAAAACUCGAGACACAGAGCCUUUCAUCACCAUCACCUCCACCACAAUCUACUUCCCUCUGUCACUCUCUUCUUUCUACAUACAAAUUUUAAAACAUGGCACAGAAUGGUAGGACCCCAUCAAGUUUUUUUAUUGCAUUCUUUCUCGUUUUGUUUUUGAUUUCUUGGUUCAUUUUCAGUAUGGGAUCUUGAUGAUUUUUGCAUUUUGUUUUUUAUUUGGGAUGUUUUAGAUUCUCUUUCAGAGUUCUUGCAGACUGCUGUUGAGGCAGCAAAGAGAGCUGGAGAGGUGAGAUAUAAAUUUUAGAUUUUGUUUUUCCUUUUUUAGGGGUCUCAAAUUUAGUCUCAUUUUCCAUUUCUUGUGUGCUUUGUAGAUAAUCCGUGAAGGAUUCUACCAGACCAAGCAUGUGGAGCAUAAAGGCCUGGUACCCAUCUUUGCUUUUCUUGGGUUCUUUUUGUAUCUCUUUUUCUUGUUGGUCGUUAAUCAAGGUAGUCUUAUCUUGGACAUUCUUGUUGCAUCAUGUGAUCUUGAAUGUAGAGUCUGUGUAGUGCUUAGCAAUUUUUUUCCCCUAAAGAAAGGAGAAUUGUUGAUCAAAUGCUGCUAAAUAAUCUUGAAUUCAGAUCAGUGAUUGAUUAUAUCUGAUUGCAAAUUGAAUUUAGAAUGCAAGGGGGACCUUUAAGAUCCCAGUUUGUAAAGCUGAUGGAAAUAAAAUUUUAAUCUUGGCAUUGAGGUGAUCUUGUUUUGGAACAAAACUAGGAAUUGAAUUUAACAUGCCGGGGGAGCUUUAAAAUGGCAAUUGAAUUUAGCAUCAACGUCUGUAAAGCUAACGGUAAUUGAAUUCAUCGUGCAUGAGGUGCUAAAAUCCUUGUUUGUAAAGCUGCUGGGAAACAAAGUUUUUAUCUUCACGCUGAGGCUGAGGUCAUCGAGUUUGUAAAAAAAUUGAAAGUGCUUUUGCUAUUUUGUAAUGCUAGCAUAUUUCCUUUGUUAAUUGGACUGUAUCAUCAUAACUGUGGACCAGAGGAGAAAAUUAAAAAAUUAGAAGUUGCCAACCCAUUUGUGUUAAUUUAGCCCGGAUAAAAGUGCUGUGGCUAAACAUACUUCACUAUAUGCGUGUAAUUACUGACAAUUGUUUAUUUUAUUUCUCAAUUGCAGGUGGAUUUAGUUACUGAGACUGACAAGGCUUGUGAGGAUCUUAUUUUUAAUUAUCUCAAACAGCAGCACCCCACACAUAAGGUUAACAACUUACUUUAGUAUUUUCUACUUUGUAGGUGAUGAAUUUGAGCAUUAUUGAUCUGUACGGGGAAUAUUGUCUCCUAAAAAGUGCCUCUGUUUUUCUCUUGAAAGUUCUCUUUUGCUGGUUUUCUUAGUUCAUUGGGGAAGAAACUACUGCUGCCUGUGGUAUUACGGAACUGACUGAUGAACCGACAUGGAUAGUUGAUCCUCUUGAUGGAACAACCAACUUUGUCCAUGGGUAAAUGCAAUUUUUUUUUUUUAACAUUGUUUAGUGAAGGCAAUUUCCUCUUGUUUUUAUACAUGUAACAUCACUUUAAUUUGUCGCAACAUGUUUGGAUGUAGGUUCCCCUUUGUGUGCAUUUCUAUUGGUCUUACAAUUGGAAAAGUUCCUACAGUAGGUGUUGUUUACAACCCAAUAAUGGAAGAGGUGAGAUUUUAUAUAUUGCAUGUUAGUUUUAGGUGGCCAGAUAUUACUUUGAACUUUAAAUGAUUAAAAUUUUAUGUAGAACAUGCACAGUUUACCUCCUUUCAUAUAGCCUGGUGAUCUUCUACAUGUAUGCUGGAUGUUAGUGCAUCUUUCCUCACAAAAUGAACACUGACCAGUGACCACUAGUUUUCAGCUUCAUGGUCCUCUACUCAGAUAAAUGUCUGCUUUAUGAUGUUGAGUCUGCCAGUAUUUAAAUAUCGGGAAAACGAGUAUCUAGCUAUAUCUAAGCAGUUAGUCCAUCAAACUUUUGUCUGCCUUCUUGAACACUUCUUGCUUUCACUUCAGAUAUGUGGUCGUAUAUUGUCCCAUUUAACAUCGAAGUUAAUGUUCUGUCAAAAUUUUAUAGAAUUUGAAAUGUGAUCCAGUAAUUUGCUAAAAGAUUUUGGAUUUAUAAAUGCAGCUUUUUACAGGCGUCCAUGGAAAAGGUGCAUUUCUGAAUGGAAAACCCAUAAAAGGUGUCUCUGAGUUGACUAUUGUCAGUUUCCAUAUUUUGAUACUUUUGCAUGCUAAUCUUUCCAUGAAACUUAAGCAGCUAUGUACUUGUGUUUCGAUUGCAGUAUCAUCUCAAAGUGAGCUUGUGAAAUCUCUUCUUGCAACAGAGGUAUGCUUUUCAGCAUCAUUUUUGUCUGCCCAAACUUGCAAACUGAGAUGCUUUUCAGUUUAGAUAGCUUAAACUGAAAUAUAACCGGGAAUCAGUUUUGAAACCUGAGAUGAAUUGGUGCCCUACUGUCUCAUAUUUUUUUGGUACAAUUCUAUCCUUCUAACUGUACAUCUCCAAUUGGUUUCUUAUUGGAUCGGUUUGAAGGGUGUUAAAAUUGCCUUGGGCACAAUCAAUUUCAGUCUUAACUCCAGAUAGUGUCAGAAAUGUUAAGUGCUGAGUAAGGGUAGCUUGUUUUAACCCUGGAUUGAUUUUUCUGGCAUGCUAACCCUUCUCGUUUAUAUUAAAAUAUUGUUCGUAGACUCUAGAAAUCCAACUCCCUGUAUUUGAAAUGCAGAUCUAUGCGUUGUGAAUGUAUUUAGUUUUUACCAUGUUGCACUUGCAAAUACCCUGCAAAAGGAGUGCUUUAAGUUCACCCCUGUUAUGCUCUGUGUGGAAUCUGGUUAAAACUCCUUUCUACUUCAAGUCCACUCCUUUAUGUUUCAUAAAGGAAUCAUGUUAGGAACUGACCAAACUAAAAUCUUCUAAGAGCAGGCUGGAACAAAACGUGACAAGUCUACUGUGGAUGCCACUACGAACAGAAUUAACAGCUUACUUUUCAAGGUGAGACCAGAACAUGCUGUGGAAGCUAUGUUCUUUGGUAAAAUGUAUUGGUUUUCUUAAAAUUCAUAUCUGAUUAUCUUGUUAUCAGGUGAGAUCCCUUAGGAUGACUGGCUCCUGUGCAUUGAAUCUUUGCGGAGUUGCAUGUGGAAGGAUUGAUUUGUUUUAUGAAACCGGAUAUGGAGGCCCGUGGUACGUAUUUGUGAUUGACGCAAGAAAAGUUCAUCUGGACGCAUGAUUGAUAUAAUCUACUCUUGAACUCAGGGAUGUGGCAGGUGGUGCUGUGAUUGUCAAAGAAGCUGGAGGAAUCGUUUAUGACCCGUAAGUGAUGCUAUUUAUAUUUCAUCCCUUCCACAACUUAGGUGGGGGUAGUGUGGGAUAUAGAGAGGAUAGUCCCAUGCAUGGACAUGAAAGAACAGUGUUUAUCGAAUGUCAACAUGAUUUAAUCGUCGUCUUGUGACAUCCUCAACUCUGUCAUCCGGGCAAGCAAUAGGUCAAAGAUAUUAAGAACAUAAGCAUAUGCUCACAUUUUGUCCAGAAUAUAAUGCGUGUUCUGAUAUUUUGAUGGUUGCUCUUUCGGCUACAGAUCUGGUAAAGAUUUUGACAUCACUACUCAAAGAGUCGCAGCUUCAAACCCGCUUUUGAAGGAAGCAUUUGUUGAGGUUUUGCAGCAAUCAGAAUGAGACAAUUCAAUAUCCUUUGUAGCAAUCAGAUGAGCUCAGUCGAUAUCGUCGUUAAGGCUUAAAGAAACAUCUUUAACUGAGAGAGUGGCAGCAUCAAUAAUGAGUCUUCCAAUUUGUUGUGGUUUUUAAACAAUGCCUACUUAUAUGUAUACUCUAAUUGAGAAGACAACUACCAUUGUUGAUCAUGCAGACCACCAUGUUACACAGAUUGUGUGGUUUAUAUACCAGUUUUUCUACACUUCUCAUUGAGCAAGGAUCAUGCCUUGUUGAACCAUAGCUGCUUCUUUCUGUCUCUCCCAGUGAUACCUGAACCUAUUAGCUUGAUUCUUCUCUAAACAGAACUGAAUUCCAAAAAGAAUUUUGCAUCUUUCGUCGUAGCUGCAAAGUUCUCUGCAGCCAGAAUUGGCAAAAAGUGACCACAGCUGACUGCAGCAAAAUGCAGACAGGGAAUUCUUGAUUGAAUUUAUGAAUUAUUUGAAAGGUUCAUGAUGCAGGCGGAAACAAGAAACAAGAAAGACAACACACAGAAAUACAGUAUUUUGCAGAAAAAGUUUCAAUUAAUUUUAAUUCUAAUUUUUAUUACUCAAUAUUUUUCCAAUAAAAAGUAUCACAACUAUUAUAUGCUAUUUAUAUAUUAGAAAAAACAAUUUUAAUAAAAUUAAAAAACUGUUAAAUACGCAUCAAAACCAAGAAGUUAAGUUUCUUUUGAAUAAAGUAAGUGGAUGAAUAAAUCUUUUUUUUUUUUUGUUAUUAUCAAACCAAACAUAUUCUGCGAACAUUAAAUGCUAAUUAACGAAAUUUAUAAUAGAAAAGGAUAUUAUUAUUUAAUAAUUUGAAAUAUAUGUUAUACUCAACUCAAGCAAGAUUUAUAUAAUCAUAUAACAAGAACCAUAAAAAAAAUAGAAUAAAAUAAACUAUAAAAAAAUAUAUUUGAUUAGAUGAUUAAAAUAUAUUUUUUUCAUGAUUAAAAUAUAUUUCAAUAUUUCCCCAAAUAAAGUUCUAGUUCGCACCAGCUUGUGUUUUGACUUCUUUUUAUUUGAACUGAAAGCCCUUUUAGCAUUUCAAAAUAUAUCAUAUUUACCCUGUCCUCCUCACAAGUAUUUCCCAUCUGGUCCCCCCCUUUUGACCUCAAAUUUUGUUCAAGGUGUGCCAUCUUUUCUUCAUUUAUUUGUGAGUAACAACAACUACAAGCUCCUUUCCUUGUAUUGCUUUUGGCUACUUUAGAUUUGUCUUUCUUGUUCAAUUCUAUACAUUGCUAUUUAGGAUUUAGAUUUCUUCCGUAUCUGUAACUGAAAAGCGCCAACUUCUUUGCUUGCUCUUGCUAUAUUAUGCAAUCUUGGAUUUUGAUUUCACUUCCUUAUUCAUCCCUCUUAAUGGAUUUUGGUUUCCAUUGUUCUGCUAUGCUCUGCCUUGAUAAGAGUCCUUAGUUUCUAUAUAUCUUAAAGCUCAAUAGAUUUCCAUAUUUCCCCAGUAAAGUUCCAGAUUUCGAAAUGAUGGGCAUUGUAGGAUCUAGACGUUUCAUUUGUGUACUUUUGUCAAUCUUAAGUUUGGUAUGUUUAUCUAGUGGAUUCACUCAUAUAGACUGUCACAUGUGUGCGGCGUCGCGGUAAAAAUUGUUCCACUUCAAAUCUAAAUAUAAUAUCUAUCUAUAUGGCAAAUAUAGGAAGAUAAAAAACUCUUGUCGUUUAUCGGUGGAAAAUGAAAUGUGAGUCACCACUUAAUAUUUUGGUCACUAGUAACCUUAACUGGUCUCAGAGAUCAGAUACGGGGACUGAUUGCGUAAAGGGAAGGUAUUAGUACCCCAAAUACGUCUUAUCUAAGUUAAGCUGUAUUGUUUAAUUGUCUGAUAAAAAGCUAAGGUGUUAUUAUAUUUCUAAUUGUUGGUCUGUUUAUGGUUCAAGAAAAAUUCUCCUUAGUAAGGAGGUCCUUAUCGUAUCGGGUAAAAAUCUAAUUGUUCUAACGUCUAUUUGAAAACUAUAUUUUCAAUAUCAGGAAUACGUUUUACGUAUAAAUUCAUAAUCUCAUAUACUAAAAGAAGACAAAAAGAUUUUUAAAUUUUUUUGAAAUAUUGCCUGGUUUUCAUGGCUCUAACAAACUUGUUGUUAAAACCAAAAUGCAUGCUAAUACGUAUAUUUUUUAAAAUUUUCUUUAUUGUAUAAAAAUAUGAUAUGAUGAUUUUUUUUUUUGAGAAACUAGACCGUAUGCAUGAAAACAAAACCUUUAUAUAUAUAUAUAUAUAUAUAUAUAUAUAUGUCUUGACGAAAACCGGAAAUUUUAAUACUGGAUUAGUAUCUUUAUAGUAUAAAAAUACAAAUCAAUAUAAAGCAAUAAAAAUAUGCAUGAAAAUCAAUAAUGUUUUUUAAGAAUUUUUCAGAAUUUUGAAAACAAAACAUUUUUUUUAUGUCUUGACAAAAACCGGGUAUUUUAAUACUAGAUUUGUAUCUUUACAGUAUAAAAAUACAAACCAAUAUUAAGCAAUUUUGAUAAAAAUAUGCAGGAAAAUCAACAAUUUUUUUAAGGAUUUUUCAGAAUUUUUUUUUAUAUCUAUAUUUAUAAAUAAUAUAAAAACAUUAUAAUAUAUAAUAUAUAAUAUUAGGUGGGUUGGGUUGGGCCAGCCCAACUAACUGGGCCGAACUCAACCCCAAAAGGGUUGGGCCGAUCUCGGUCUAGUAGUUCACUCUGCCUCUUUGGGUCUGGGCCAGAUCCGGCCUAGACAUGAAGGCUGGGCCAGAAUCAACCUGGCCCACAAAACCCGCCUGGCCCAGAAAAAAAGGAACCCAUCAGUGUUGGGCCAGCAGCGACCUGGCCCAACAACAAAAAACCCACGGAUGGGGGGAAUUAUUUUCCCCCUCCUCUUCUCUUGCAUGCAGAACGAUAUUCGUUCUACAUGCAGGAGGAAAUGUAGCCAACAAAACAAAUGAAGGGGGGGAGGAGUUUACCUGGUGCGGUGGAGGCGAUGCCUUACUGUUCUGACUGCUUCGCUAGCGGUGCUGCGGUGGAGGCCGGUGGCAGUGUCGCGGCUCACGGACGGCGGCUUCAAGAAGCGGUGUUACUGCUUCAAGCGGCGGAGAGAGGGGUUAUUGCUCUUCCCUUCUCCUCCGUUUCCUUUCCUACUCUUUCGAUUUGUUUUUCCCUUUCGUUGGUUUGUUCUCUCUCCCUCUGGUUUGUUCUCUCUCUCUCUCUCUCUCUCCGUUCGUUCUCUCCGUUUUGUUUCUCCUGUUUUGGUUCGUUUUCUUUCUUUUUCGGUUCGUCCUCCUUCUCUCUUUUUUGUCCCCCUCGCGUGCUGGCGUUCAAUCUCCAUUUGUAGGGGCAAGGGAGCGGGACCUCUUUAUUGUUGUGCAUGGGGAGUAGGGCAGCACUGGGUUGGUUGGUGGGCACGACUGGCAAGGCGUGGCGCCCCUGAUUUCUCAUCAUCAAGGUGCUUGGGGCUUUGGGUCUUUCGUAGGGCACGCGGCUCGCAGGAAUCAAUGAAGAAAGAAGAAGAAAACUGUAUGCCUUCCCUUGCUGCACGUCCAGGGGAAGGAGAAAGAGGAACGGUGUCACUCAAAACGACACCGUUUUGCUCUUUGUUUUUUUUUUUUUUUAACAUGAAACGGCGUCGCUUUAUACAAAACGUGUCAUUUCAUUUAAAGGUGGCGCUAGCAUAUUCAUUUCCAAAUCAAUCCUUAAUUUAUCUUUUGUUCUUUUAAGUCCUCACAAUGUAAUCUUGAUUUUAAGAAUUAAUUCAAUUGCAUCCCUGCCAAUUUCAAUCGCCGCCCCUAUAGUUGUCCGCCUUUUCACUUUAGUCCUUGGUUUUGAAUUUGUGCAUUUGGACCCUCAAUUGAUUAAUAACCUUCCAAUUUCUUCAAUUUGACCCCUGAUUUGGUUGAUUACAGCCCCUCUAUUUACGCGCCUUUUCCAAUUUGGUCCUUGGUUUUGGAUUUUCUCAAUUAAAUCCCUAAGUGGCCAUUAAACUUUAAUAUUUAUGCAAUUAAGCCCCUGAUUUGACCAAAUCAACUCUCAAAAAUUAUAAUUUGACCCCAGAACUUUAAUUUCUUCCAAUUAAAGCCCAAAUUGACUUAAAAAUAAAUUUGUCUUGCAAUCAAACCCUUUAUAAAUUCAAUUAAACCUUCAAUAAAAUCCAAUUGAGUCCAUAAACAUCCAAUUUUGGACUUUUCUCUUUAAAUUGAAUUUUAUUUUCCAACAGGGCUCUCAUCAUUCAAGGAUAUACUGUCAAAAUUUUAAUCUUUGUAUUUUUAUCCUUCUUAAUCCAUUUUUCUGAUAAUUUUCUGAGCGCUCCCGUCACCUGUUAUUUUUUCUAAUUUCUUCCGGCUAUAUAUUUAUUUAUUAUUAUUUUAUCUUUUUAUUUUUUUUUUUAUUUUUGUGUGGGAUCCAAAAAUAAGUUACAAUAUAGACAAUUAUCUUAUAGACUGCGGAUCACUCAGCAAUACUACAGUAGGUAACCGUGUUUUUGUUGCUGAUAACUCUGCCUCCAACUUUCUUUCAACCCCGAAAAACACUUUUGCAAAUGCUUCAAUAUCUGUCACUUCUGGGGAUGAUUCACCGCUCUAUCAAACAGCAAGAAUCUUUGAUGGAACCUCAAAGUACACCUUUUUGAUUAACCAACCUGGGAGGCAAUGGAUUCGUCUAUAUUUCUAUCCAUUUGUUAGUGGUACUUACAACAUGAGCAAUGCGAGUUUUGGUGUUUCCUCAGCAAUUUCAGUGUGAAGGCUUCUGUUGUUAAAGAAUUUUCAGUUAAUGUAACCUCAAAGAACCUUGUUAUCACCAUCACUCCUUCAGGCAAUUCAUUUGCCUCUUAAAUGCCUUUGGAAGUCGUUUCAGUUCCCGAUGAGCUCAUUACAGAUGAUGCUGAAACUUUUAAUCCAGUGGGGAGACUGUUCAUAGGGUGAACAUGGGUGGACCAACAGUUUCCUUUGAGAAAAAUGAAUAUCAUUAUCUUUUUCCGAGAGUGUAUUGGUGUAGAAUGAUUGUAGUUAUCGAUUCGAAAUCGGAAACUAACUCGAAAAAUGGUUUAAAUUAUCAAAUAAUUCGAAUUUUCAGUUAAUAAAAAUGUUUUUAUUAAAUGGAGAAUUUCUCUCUUCUAAUUAAUUAUACUGGCUGAGUUUCUUAUGGUAAAUAAUCAUGUUUGCACUGAGAAUAAGUUUUCUUGCGGAUAAUUCCUUGUUUAUAAAUAGUGGUGGAGAGGAAGCAUAUGCGCGCGCGCGCAUGCAUGAAAGCUUAUUCACUUAUUUAAUUUUUAAAGAUUAUUUAAAUUAUGAUGUUAUACAAACACGCAUAGCCUAAAGGUUAAGUAUCGAAAAUUAAUAUAUAAAAACAAAUCAUGUUUAAUUAAUAAAAUAUUAUUAGAAUCUUGUUUUAAUUAAAAAUUAUAUUUUCUCGAUGUGAAUUAAAAUUGAUAAAACUUAUAAUACUUUAAGAUAAUAAUAAAAAUGAAGAUAAAUUUAAUGUAAAUUAAGGUGAAUAAACCUUUCUAAAUCGUUGGACUAAUCUAAAUAUGAUUUUAGCAUUUUAAAAACAUUAUUUAUGCACCACUUAGUAACUAAUCAAAUUCAAAUAAUUAAUUCAUGAUAUUAAAAAAAUAUUAUGAAAGUUAUUCAAAUCUUCUGAUUGAGGCAGCACGCCACACCACCUAAUUUGUUUUUCGAGUAUUUGAAUAUCAAUACAUGAUAAUUGUCUCCAUCCUUCGCCAGAUCUGAUUUUUCCAACCCGUUGCUGCUGUCCCCAAAAGUCCUCAUCAUCCGCAACGUCUUCUUCCCCAUCACCAUAGGUGUCCACGUCAUCGACCAUAUCAACCAAGCCUUCCAUGGUGAUACCCAUUCAUUAUUGUGGUGGUGCUUUAGCUUUAUUAUUUUUUCUCUGCUUGACAAUGCAAUUUUGAUCGAUUCGUGUACGAGAAAGAGGAGAGUCACUCUUUCAAGCAAGGAUGCUAUGACCUCAGACUUGAGAUCGAUUGAAAGAUAUAGUUUUGAAUGAAUCAAAUGUCAUCCAUCCCGCGUUUUGGGGCUGUCAUAAUGUGACAGUUUCGACUUCCAUCGGUCGACCUUUGUGCCUAGCGGCUUAGCCUACCUAAUGAAGCGCUUAGCUUCUGCUAGCGGCAGGCUAAAGGCUCUAUGACGGGCUUCCUUAUUUCAUGGGCUCUGCUCACUCGUCUACGAAAACAAAAUGCAUUAAGAUUUAAAACUUAAACUUGUCGUCAAAAAAAAUGGAAAUAGUGAAUCAAGAUUAGGCUCGACGAAAGAAUUGUCCUUGACAUAAUAUGGAAAACAAAAGAUGCUGAAUUACAUGAACAAAGACGCUAUUCUUUGAUAAUAGCAAUGUACAAAGGAGAAAUUAGUCAGCAAUAAAUAUCUUAUCAAAUUAACAUAAAAGGUAAAAGGUUUUGUAUGCUGAUACCCAUUCAUUAUUGUUUGUAGUUUUCAUAAACUAAUUAAGAUUGGAGCACAAUAUACCUUAAACAAAUAUCUACGCAGUGGCGGAGCCACAUGGGUGCAAGAGAAGCUAAUUGAUUCUUUAUUUUAUUUUUUUCAAAAUAAUUUUCUUUGUUAGCUACUUGUGAGCUUCUUUUUUCUAUACUAAUUAGUUAUUAAAAAUAUUAAAGUUUAUAAUAAUUUAUAGAUUUAUUGAAUUAAUAUAUGUAUAAGUAAUAUUAUAUGCUAAUGAAUAUGAAUUAAAAUAAGUUUUGAUGAAAUGAUAAGUAUUUUGCUAUAAAUUUUAUGUGAAAAUAAAGGUGAUGAAUUUACUAGUGAUUAAAAGUGAAGUACAAGACAACUAAAAAAAUUAGAAAAAUAAUAGAUAAAUUAAAAAGAAAACAUUUAAUAUUUAUUUUUAAUACACUUGUACAAAACAAGUCAACAAGAACAACAUCAAUUUAUGACAAUCCUUUUAAGCUAUGAUUUUAGAUGCUAUGUAUCAUAUAUCUGCAUAGAAUUAUUACCACGAACCAUCGUAAUCCUUAAAAGAUUUAGAAAUAGAUAAAUAAAAGUUUAUUGUAUAUAUUGAGAAAGAUAUUUUUAAUGAGAUUAAAAAUAAAAUUAUUAUAAAGCAAUUUUAAAAUAUAAAAUCUCGAAGAGAACAAUUAUAAUGUAAGUUUUUUUAUUUUAAAAAUUUUAAAUUAAUUAGUACAUUUUUUUAUAUAACACAUAUCUAUAUAAUAUAUAAUAUUAAAUAUUUAUAAGUAAUUUAUCCCUCAUUUAAAAUAUUAUGGCUACACCACUAUGUCUGCGCUACUUUUAAUUGCUAUAAUUAAAGUAAAUCUCAGAAAAGCAAGCUGUGUCCUGUGAUUUUCUCUCAUAUUUUGUGUGAAGCAAACCAAGUAUAGCUGGGAGUGGUGAUUUCGUUGCAUGGUUGUGAUCUUUACACCUCUGGAAUCUGCUGUAUUUUCAGAAAGCUGCUGGAAUCUGCUGAAUUUUCUUCUGGUUGAUUGGUAGUGGUUGAUCCAUACAAAGUUAAACAAUUUUGUGGGCUUCUGUACAGCCUCAGUGACAACUGUGGUCCAAAGUGGAAGAAGUACGUGCUUAUUGUACUAUCAUAAGUGAAGCCUGGUGGUUAGUUGUGAGGCACAAAAAUAGUUUGUUUUUCUUCUUUUUAGAUUCUUUGUAUUCUGUCUUAUCUUUCAGCUCCACUUAAUUGAUGGGCUGCUUUAUAUAUAAUUCUCUCCAUUAUUAUAUAGAUAUAAAAAAAGUGUGAUGGAUAUUUUUCUAUGAAUUGUGAGAUAAAAGACAUAAAACACAAGCUCACAUUACUCGGGAGAGGAUACUAGAUACAAAAAUAGUGUUGGAUUAAUAAUGCAUAAUAACUCAUAAUUAUAUAUUAUAUAUUUGAAUAAUUACUACCCAUUAAUUAUGCAUGAAUGAAUUCAAAUCUCAGACAUUGAAUUGAAUUCAAAUAUGCAAAUUUUACACCGUUUUAAGAACUACGAGAUAAUCAAUUUAAAAAGAUGCUGCUUUGGAAUCAUUUUGCAAUUUACUUGAGCCAAAAUUGUUAGGCCUCCAUGCAUAAUAUUGCAAGUUACUUUUCUCGGGUAUUUUGAUAUUUGGACAGGGACAAUUUGGUAAUGUGAGGUAAUUGAUUCAGAGUUAAUAACUGUUUGAACGGUAAAACAAUAUCUUUAUAAAGAAUGUAUGUCGUCUCAAGGGAAGCGCAUUGCAAGCUAAAGUAGUAAUGGCUAAGCUCUUUCCUAAGCUUGUUUCCUCUCUUGCCGUUCUUCUUCUUCUUUGUCAAUUUGGCUAUGUAGCCUGUCAACCACCGGUAUAUAGUCCAAGCAGAAACGCCACGUUGCCUGCAGAUGAAGGUACACACGCACGAUAUACUUUUCCAUCUACAUAUAUAUCCUUUUCCUGCUAUAUACAAAAGAAGGAAGAAAAUUUGUUUUCAAGAAUAUAAACUCAAUUAACUGUUUAGACUAUAAACUCACUCAUGUUUGCAAGAAACUGAUCCAAGCUAACAAGAGAAAGAAGAGAGAGCAGUACUUGAGCUGGAAGGAAGGGUCUUAAUUAUCUUUGUGACCCAAACAACGAAAAGCCUUAUGCACAAGAUACUGCUAAUUCUCUCUUCCAUUUGCACUCUCUAGUGCUUCCACAGCCUGGCAGAGAGUUCCGUAGUGCUAGCCUACGUACUGCAUAUCUUAGAUAUUUCCUGCUUCUCCAUUUUUUCCUAUAACUAUCAAGCGAAGUGAUUGGUUAAGGAUGAAGUGAUUUUUACGAGGUUUUUAUAAACAAGGGAGGUGGUAAGGAAAUCUAGAUAGAUUUUCAACAUGGAAUUAUAUGGAGUCAAUUCACACAUCCAUAAAAUUAGCACUAGUUUUUUUCUUCUUUUAGUUCGGAUUUGAAGCUAGGUAGAAGUAGCUAGGCCUGUUUGAAUCUUGCUAAACAAAAUAUGUGUUUCUUUGUUUAAAACGUUUGGCAGCAACGGCUUUGGAUGACUUCAUGACCACGUUAGGGGGGGGUUUGCUACUAGGCUCGGAUUGUUCUGAUUUUCAAGGCAUCACAUGCGAUUGCAGUUAUGAGAACAGCACAGUUUGUCACGUCACCGGCCUGUAAGUUCCUCAUCAACUUCAUCCAAUUUUCUUUCAUUUUUGUAAGGCAAUGCAUCCUCUUUAAAACUCACUGGUUUCUAUGUUGACGCCAUUUUUGGGAGGUAGAGAUCUCUCAAACCGCAAAUUAGACGGACAAAUCAACGCUACAGCCUUGGCUAGUCUCGUUCACCUAGAAAGAAUGUGAGUAUCAUAUGACAUGUGAUGAUAAUAAUUCGAAUCAGUAUACUGAGCUCAACUAAUUGAUAACAAUCCUAUUACAUUAAUAACAGUGAUUUGUCCUACAAUCAACUUUAUGGUAGCAUCCCUGACGUCACCAUGGGGAACUUGAGUUUACUCACCUAUCUGUAAGUGUUCCAGUACCAUGGUCAUAUACUACUACUGCAGUUUAUUUUGUUGCCAAUGUUCGUUAAAUACGUUCUUACUAUUAUUUUCCAGUGCUAAAAGUGACUAAAUGGAUAAGUUAUCAAUUUCUAAAACAGACUAUGUAUUAUACUUUAUCUACUAUUGGGUAACCAUAUAUAUAUAUAUUACACACAUAUAUAUUGAUGAUGGUUGAAUUUUUUUAAAAAAAAAAAAUUAAAUUUAUAUUUUGUAAAUUGACAAGUAUUCACGAAUAUAGGAAAAUCAAUGUUAAUUUUAUGAAUAUAAUUAUCUCAAAUAAUUUUAUAGUCUUUUAAUGUUUAAUAUUUAAUAUUAAUAAAUGUAGAUAUGUUAAAUUAAAUAGGAGUAUGAGUUUUUUCUACUGUUUCAUUAAAGAGGAAAGAUAUUUACAAGUAUAAUUUAGAUGUGGGUUUGAAAUAGUAAAAAAUAAAAAUAAAAUAAGUGCCUUCUAAAAACAAGGGAGCUAGUAAAGAAAUCUGUAUUGAUUUUCAACAUUUCAUGAUUGCAAUCUUUUUUUCUUUUUCCAUUAAUUUAUUGUGGAUGUUUUCCCCCUUCCGAGUUUUAUUUUUUAAUUGCUUAACCAUGUUGAGGCUUGUUUGGGUGACUGCAUUAUUAUGAGCAAAGAGCUGCUUAGCUUUUUUAUUAUAUAUAAUAACUAAUUUCAGUUCUUAGUGUCUUCUUAAAAUUUAAAUUAAUGGUUCUUAUUUUAGGAUGUGAAUUUUUAUCUUUCGAGUAAUAAUGAACUUAUAUGGUAAUAAAUAUGCAUAGCGAUCUUUCCAAUAACUUCCUCAAUGGCUCCAUACCUCUAUCUUUGGAAAGUUUGUCAUCUCUCGAAAUUAUGUAAGUAUCAUCCAAUCACAAUCUUUUCAGUAUCAUAUAAUGUGAAUUAAAUUUUUUUUUGAUUACUGAUACAAGUUUUGUGCUCAUAUUCUUGUGGGUGUUUAUAGGUAUUUUAUUAAUUUUGGUUUUUUUUUCUGAAAAAUCCCAUGUCCAAUUUUUAUAGAUUAUUAUGUUUUUCCUAAUCAAGUAUUUAGAUUUCAUGCUUUAAUUAAGACUAAAUCUAUUAUUUCUAAUAUAGUUAAAAGCAAAUUAUCCAUAAUCAAGAAUUCAAGAUUUAAAAGAAAAAAUUGGCACUGACCAAAAAGUUCGACUUGGGUAUCGAAGAACAUCCAUUUUUAUAUGAAUUAUAGGAGAACAUCUUGGAUAUUUGGGGUUGAUUUUAUAUCUUUGCUGUUCUUUUAAAAAAUAAUAUAUAAUGGUAAGAAAAAAAGCAUACAAUUACUAACUUCUAUGAAAAUAUAGUCUCAAUAUAUAUAUUAUCUUUCGAGUAAUAAUGAACUUAUAUGGUAAUACAUAUGCAUAGCGAUCUUUCCGAUAACUUCCUCAGCGGCUCUAUACCUCUAUCUUUGAGAAGUUUGUCAUCUCUCGAAUACAUGUAAGUAUCAUUCAAUCACAAUCUCUUCUGUAUCAUGUAAUGUGAAUUAAAUUUUUUUUUUUAUUACCGAUACAAGUUUUGUGCUCUUAUUCUUGUGGGUGUUUAUAGGUAUUUUAUUAAUUUUGGCUUUUUUUUUAGAAAAAUCCCAUGUCUAAUUUUUAUAGAUUAUUAUGUUUUUCCUAAUCAAGUAUUUAGAUUUCAUGCUUUAAUUAAGACUAAAUCUAUUAUUUCUAAUAUAGUUAAAAGCAAACUAUCCAUAAUCAAGAAUUCUAAGAUUUAAAAGAAAAAAAUUGGCAUUGACCAAAAAGUUCGACUUGGGUAUCAAAGAACAUCCAUUUUUAUAUGAAUUAUAGGAGAACAUAUUGGAUAUUUGGGGUUGAUUUUAUAUCAUUGCUGUUCUUUUAAAAAAUAAUAUAUAAUGGUAAGAAAAAAAGCAUACAAUUACUUACUUCUAUGAAAAUAUAGUCUCAAUAUAUAUAUUAUCUUUCGAGUAAUAAUAAACUUAUAUGGUAUUACAUAUGCAUAGCGAUCUUUCCGAUAACUUCCUCAAUGGCUCCAUACCUCUAUCUUUGGGAAGUUUGUCAUCUCUCGAAUACAUGUAAGUAUCAUCCAAUCACAAUCUCUUCAGUAUCAUAUAAUGUGAAUUAAAUUCUUUUUUUUUUAUUACCGAUACAAGUCUUGUGCUCUUUUCUUGUGGGUGUUUAUAUGUAUUUUAUUAAUUUUGGCUUUUUUUUAGAAAAAUCCCAUGUCCAAUUUUUAUAGAUUAUUAUGUUUUUCCUAAUCAAGUAUUUAGAUUUCAUGCUUUAAUUAAGACUAAAUUUAUUAUUUCUAAUAUAGUUAAAAGCAAACUAUCCAUAAUCAAGAAUUUCUUAAAAACAAAUUGGCACUAACCAAAAAGUUCGACUUGGGCAUCGAAGAACAUCCAUUUUUAUAUGAAUUAUAGGAGAACAUCUUGGAUAUUUGGGGUUGAUUUUAUACCAUUGCUGUUCUUUUAAAAAAUAAUAUAUAAUGGUAAGAAAAAAAGCAUACAAUUAAUAUCUUCUGUGAAAAUAUAGUCUCAGUAUGCGUUGUCAGAAUACAUAUAUAUAUAUAUAUAUAUAUAUAUAUAUAUAUAUAUAUAUAGAAACUCCUAUAUAUGUAUAGAAACUCGCUCGCUCUUUCAUUCUCCUUGAAUUUCCUUUUAACUUAUUGAGUUUGGUUUGGUUAUUAUCUCUUAUUUAAUUAGGUACUUGGACUUCAAUGAACUCACUGGUCACCUUCCACCAGAACUUGGAAGAUUGGGAUCUCUUUGUUAUUUGUAAGUUUCAAAAAGAAGAAUAAUAAUGUCAACUUUUGAUUGUAAUAGGAGAAAUAAAACAGAAAAAAGGUGGAUAUACAACAACCCUUUUGAUUUGUUGUUGUAGAGGGUUGGGCUCCAACAAUUUGAAUGGACCACUGCCGGAAAAUUAUGCCAACUUUACGGAAAUGCAGUGGUUGUAAGUGCAACUCAUCAUGUUAUUUCAACCAACAAUCUGUUUAAUUAUUGUUCCAAGGAAAAGCAACUAACUAUGGCUUGGCUGCAGUAGCGUAGCUGGGAACCGUUUGACCGGUCAAGUACCAAGUUUCAUUGCGAAUUGGACUGAACUCUCUUACCUGUAAGAAAAUAUUUGAUUGAGAAACUGUCGAUGAUCGAAGAAUAUCAUUCAAUGAUUUGUGUUUUUGUGUACUGAUGACAGGUUCCUCUCCGGAAAUGAUUUUGAAGGAGAGCUGCCUCUUGAACUUCUUUUUAACAUGUCAUAUCUCGAAUACUUGUAAGUGCUCUAUAAUUUUAACCGGGUUGAAAUAAAUGCAUGUUUUUAUUCUGGAUGGUUUUUCUUCCAGGAUGGUUAGUGAUGUAAGAAGCUCGGCCGGUUUCCCUUUCCCAAAAUAUGCAAAUAUGAAGGAAAUAACUUUCCUGUGAGUUUUUCCUUCCUUUGCUUUUCUUUAAAGCUCACACUCGAAAAUCACAUAAAUAAUUAUCAAGGCUUUAAGUAAUAAAAAUAUAAAACUAGUUAUUAAACCCCAAAAUACAUACCAAAAUAUAUUCUUGAAAUUUCAUGUCAAAUACAUACGAUUUUAUCAUAGGCAAAUAAAAAAAUAUAUUUAAUUCUUUUUGUUUUUUAACAUUCAAAAAACAUAAAAGAAAAUACCCACAAACACACACUCCCAACCAAACAUUCUAAUUUACUCACCCACUCCCAGUUUCAAGUUUCCAAUGUAACAAAAAUUAAAAUUGCUUACAAUAAUUUAAAUACACAUUUCGAAAUCUACAAAUUACAAAAUAGACUCAGGAACAGUGCUGGAAACGGCUGAGAAAAACAAGGAAACAGGGGGGUGAUCUGGAAUGGCAUCUAUGGUCGAAUUACAGAGAGGCAGAGGUGGCUGAGUGAAGGAGAGAGAGCUGGGUCUCGGUUUAGCAGAGAAGGGGGCGGCUGAAAGAGCAGAGGGGUGGUACUAUCGGUGGAUCUGGAGGGCCUGGUUCGGGUCUGUGGAGGAUGGUCUGUGAAGGCCGGUGAUGGGGCUGUUGGGUCAGCUGUCAGAGAUCGGGAAAGGAAGAUGACGAAGUGCAGUGGGCGCCUUUGUGGUUGUGGUGGGGAGCUGGAAGGUUGAUGUUGUGGCCGGGGGAAGAAUGGGCUUGGGUUCCGUGAGAGGGAGGGGAGACCUGGUUCGGUCGGCGGUGGAGAAGGAGAGGGAGAAGUUGAAACAACCAGCGAGAGGGGAGAGUCAGGGUAAACGGCUCUGCCCUCUUUUGGUCUUGGCGAGCUGGCGGCUAGUUCAGGAGGGAAGGUUUGGUGAGGGAGAAGAAGAUGGGGACGGCUGUGGCUUAGACAUGGAGAGCGGCAGCUGGAGGAGGGGAGGGGAUUAGGAUUAUUUUUUUGUGGUUUCUUAAUUAUUAUUUUUUCAAAAUUGCCCCUAUUGUGUGUUGAGUGACUUAUUUAUAAAUAGAAUAUGGUUAGGUCUCAAUUGUUCCUCAAUUUCUUUUCUUUCUUUUUUUUAAUUUUUUAAUUUACAAUUUUUGAAAAAACCAAGUAACCAAGUAAUAUCACUUAAUAAAAAAAAUCAAUUAUUUAAAAAAUAACACGUUAAAAACCAAACCAAACACAUUCAAAAUUUUUUUAAAAAAUUUAAAUUAUUUUAAGACAAUAUUGAAAAUACUAAAAACAAUGUAAAUAUAUUAAAAAAAAAUUUAGUUUUUAUUGUUUUCUUGUUAUAUUUGCUUUUGUUUUAUUUUAAAAUAUUAGAUCAAAAAAUUAGAUAUCAACAAUAUAAAUUCAAAUUGAAUAAUUAAAACAAUAUACACUUAGAAUUAUAUUUGUCUGGGAGCGUUAUUGUUGUAGAAUUUGAAUUACGACCAAUCUUUUACAUAAAUAUAUUUGUAGGCCUAUUUUUCUUUAUAUGAUCUUGAGUUUUUUUUUUUUUAUGAGCUAUUACAUGCUGUGAAGACCAGUUGUAUCUGGGAUUCAGGUUUGAGAAUUCUUUAUAUAUAUAUAUAUAUAUAUAUAUAUAUAUAUAUAUAUAAUUACGACUACAGGCAUAACAGAAUCAUGAAGUCACAAUAUUUAUGUAUGUGAGUCUUAAAGAUAUGUAUGCAUUGGAUAAAUCCAAACACCAACUUCUUCAAUUAUUUGUGUAGGAUGAUAAGGAAUUGCUCAAUAAGUGGUGAAAUCCCCCGGUACAUCGGUGAUUGGUCAUCGUUAACAUACCUGUAAGUUUCAUUUCCUCUUUUGUAAAGGAUUUGUAGUUCUGUCAUGGCUAUUUUGUUUCAUCAGCUCUAUAAAUACUCAUUGUUUAGGGCCAUUAGGCCAUGCAUAGAAGUGUUGAUGAUUUUGAUUAUGUUUUUACAGAAUCAGCUAUGCAAUAAUUUACCAUAGCACAACUAUAUAUCAAAUAUGUAGGAUAACGUUUGCUUUCAUUUUAUUGAUCCUGCAGAGACUUGAGCUUUAACAAUUUAACAGGUGGAAUACCAGAUUCCAUGAAAAAGCUGAAUUUAAGUAAGAUGUAUGAAAAAGAGAUUCCUUGAACUCGAUGUCUUAUAAUAAGAUCGUUCUGCCACUCUGUUAAAAAGUACAUGGGAUGGUUUUCAUACUGGUUUGUUUUGUUUAGGUUUCUCACAGGAAAUAUGCUUAAUGGCACAGUACCUGCCUGGCUUCCUCAUACCAUUGUGCACAAGGCGUAUGUUAUGGCUUUGUCCUCUUUGCUCAGAUGGGUUGUUUUCCCUUUUGUAGAUUGCCUCAAUAAAAUCUUGAUAUGUAAACAAUAAUGUUGCAGGGACUUGUCAUAUAAUAAUUUUGAAAUUCCACCUGAUGGUCCGAAGAAAGGAGAAGGAAAGCUGAACAUGUAAUAACGGCUACUUCAUUUUCUUCUUCCUUUUUUUUCACUUUCAAGAAUAUUGUUGUCUAUGAAAUCCCAACUUCUAAUCAUUUUGUAUCAUGUGCACCAACUGCUUGCAUGUUGUUCCUACUCAAGCAGUCAACCAAACAGGUAUGAUAAUAUCCUCCAUAUGGUGUCAUUAAUUUAGAACAAAUGAUCAUGAGUUAUUUCUUACCAAUUUUGUUUGCUAUUUCUAGGACUUCUAUUCAUGAUUUGAAAAAUAAAUGUGCGGGGAAACAGAAGUGUAAGUUCUAUUGAGAAACUCAUAUUUACAUUCCUGAGUAGUUCAUUUAAAUUAUUUAUUGGUUUAACCUUAGGUUUGGAAUGACAUAUGCAAUGUUAGAAACUCUUCUGAAAAUUGUCUGUAGAAUUUAGCGCAGGACAGAUUUUCUGUACUGAUUAUCAUUUUUUGCAGACGGUUCCUUGUAUAUAAAUUGUGGAGGAGCAGACACAGUUUUUAAUGGGAAAGAGUUUGAAGCAGACAGUGCAACAUCAAAUUACUAUGAAGCCCCAAAAGAAAAUUGGGCUUAUUCUUGUUCUGGAGACUUUGGUUCGAAAACUUAUGAUUCCAGUUAUUACAUAAAAAACGUGGAAUGUGCAGUUUGUGAUUCUGCUGGGACACCGUUAUACAAUUCAAGUCGCCUCUGCCCUCUUUCUCUGACAUAUUACGGCUUCUGUUUAUUUAAAGGAAAUUACACUGUCAAGCUUUACUUUGCUGAAACUGUUUACCAAAAUGAUGAAGAUUACUCGAAUUUAGGGAAACGUGUUUUUGAUGUAUAUAUACAGGUAACCGCUAUAUUUUUCUGCAGCUUCUUUAAAAAAUUUCCACCAUUCAACGUCCAUUUUUGGUAUAGGGGAAGAAAGAACUGAAAGACUUCAACAUAAAAGAAAUGGCCAACGGCACCAAUAAGACAUGGACUCAAACUUUCACAGCAUUUGUAGGAGAUGAUCAUCUAUUGACUAUCCAUUUUUUCUGGGCUGGCAAAGGAUCUUUCCCGGUGCCAGAUUUUUCCUAUGCACCUGCUGUCCUGUCUCUGAAUGGACCCCUUGUGGCAGGCAUUUCCGUAACUGCAAGUAAAGAGUUGCAUUUCUUUUAUUUUUGUUGAGCAAAGAUUUCUGUUACACUUUAUCUGGUUAAAAAAAAAUUCUUGGUGUCUUCCACUAUUUGUAUCCAGACUUCAAAGUUGCUGGCAACAGUACUGGCAAGGGACUAUCUCCUUCACAAAUUGCAGGGAUUACUGCAGGUUCAGUAUUUGCUCCUCUACUUCUGUUGGCUUUCAUGUGGAAAAUGGGCUGGCUGCGGAAAAGCGAGUUGGAUGGUACCUCUCCAUGCUAAUCUAAGUUCAUUAUGCACCGCACAACCUUAAGAAUUCUUACUUUGAUUUUUUCUUCAAAUAGAAAUAACUAUUGAGGUAAAAAGAGAUGGAAUAUAUUUCACCCUCAAACAAAUAAUCGAUGCUACUCGAAAAUUUAGCCCCAAAAUGGAGAUUGGAAGGGGACGCUUUGGAAUAGUAUACAAGGUCAGAUUUUCUUUUCUGAAACAUUUGUUCUUCAACAUGCACUUUUUUCUCUCAAAGUUGUGGUAAAUUGAUUUCACGUGUAUACAGGCUGAAUUGCCGAACGAGAUAAAAUUAGCAGUGAAGAAGAUUUCUCCUCAUCAAAGCAACAAGGAAAAGAUGAAUUACAAAGGGAUCUUCAACAUGAAAUCUUUGCAUCAUGAGAAUCUUGUUCAAUUGUUGGAUGGCUAUUCUAUUAAAGACCUGCAUCUGCUAGUAUGACUAUAUGCAUAAACUCCCUUCACCAUGCGUUGUUCGGUAAUACUGCCAUCUCUUUCGGUUCUCAAGUUUUAUCUUAAUUUUCACCUAAUGCAUUGCCUUGUGAAAUUCAUAUAAUUGUUGAGAACUAAAACACGUACAGUAGUAAUAGAAUUCCGUUACUUAAUGUCUGUGAGAGCUUCUAAUUGUAUAUUUGAAUCUUCUGUUAGUACAAGGAUAGUGUACUUGCAAAUAUCAAUAACUUAAUAUCAAUAAUCUUGAUUUGUAGAACCAAAUUCCACGACAAAACUCGAUUGGAAAACUAGAUUUGAUAUCUGUCGGGGAAUAGCAAGAGGUUUGAAGUAUUUACAUGAAGAGAAAAGGUUCAAGAUUGUUCAUGGAAACAUAAAGCCUAGUAAUAUUUUGCUUGAUAACUCUCUUACGGCCAAGUUGUCUGACUUUGGAUUGGCAACGCUUUGUGAUGAGGAAGAUCCAUUUAUGGCCAUCAAAGCAAAAGGGUCGCGGUAAGUAUUAUAAUCAUUGAUUGACAACUACUUCCAUUCUUUUAAUUAAGAGCUAAUUAACCAAUAAUUAAUCUCUUAUUCCAGAGUUUACAUGGCACCUGAGUAUUCAAUGGGAAAAGCAAUAACUGUUAAAGCUGAUGUUUACAGUUUCGGAAUUGUCCUACUCGAAAUAGUUAGUGGGAAAGUUAGUGCAGAUUACACACCAAACCAAGAAGCUGAGUUUCUUCUGGAUAAAGUAAGUGGAUCUUACAGGAUAAACACUUUGUUUUUUUUUUUUUUCAUAGUUAUUAUCAAACCAAACAUGUUCUGUCAACAUCAAAUAACUUAAUAUAUGUGUUACAUUCAACUCAUGAAAAAACAAAAGCUAAUAUAUAGAGAUCGCUCUAAUACUAAGAAGAAAUUUAGAAUAAAAAAAGAUAAUAUUAUUGAAUAAUUUGAUAUAUAUAUUAUAUUCAACUCAUAUGAAGUUAUAUAAUUAUAUAAAACACAUAAGUAAAUAAAUAAAAAAUUAUAUAAAUAGAGUUGAUUGUAUCCUUUAAUUGGAUGAUUGAAAUAAUUUCUUGAUUACCUAGAAUCAUUUAAUUUCUUGAUUUGUGUUUUAUUGAAUAGAAAAUAAUCAGGAAUAUUUACUUGAUUAUUUCCUUAAUACUCGGAGCUAAGCCUAUCUUGCUUUGUAAUUGCAGGCUGGUGUUUUGUACGAUAAGGGAAGAAUCCUUGACUUGGUGGACAAGAGAUUAGCAUCCAGUUACGACAGGAAGCAGGCUCUUACUGUUUUGUUGUUAGCAAUGAAGUGUGUUAAAAUGUCUCCUACUCUAAGGCCUAAAAUAUCCGAAGUCGUCAGUGUACUUGAAGGUGAGAAAAGAAUCGAUGAGAUUUCUGAAGGUGAUGAUACUCCAUCAGCAAAUAUUGGAGGACUGUGCGGUGCAUGUUCCGGGGUGUUGGAAAUAGAGCCAAUUUCUUAGCCAAUUGGCAAUGUUAAGUUUGAUAAUGAAAACCUUCUGCCUCUUUUUUAUUUUAUUAAUUAAUACUCUAUAACAUAGGUGUUGUUGGGUCUAGUUAUGUGGUGGUGACAAGAGAACAUUGAUGUGUGCGUGAGAGACUCCAUGAGAAAAUAUGUGUGUUUUCUUUGUCUGCUAUGAUUUAUUUGUGCUAUUAUGGCUGUUGGUAAUUUCGUGAAUUGAAUAAUAUUAUCAUUUGACAUCCUUUAUAUAUAGCCUAUAUAAAGGAUAAUUUUAUGAUAUUAUCUACUUUGCAAAAUCAUUAAAUUUAUGCAAUUACAAUUUUAAUAUUAAAUAAUGGAUCACCUUUUUAUAUUGGAUAUGAAUCCAAAAUAAUUCCGAUAUAAAAUUUAAAGGAAUCAAUAAAUUUAACAUAGUUAUAAAACUUGAUAUAGAUACAACCAAGAUAAGAGAUUAUAAGUCAAAAAGAUCAUUCUAAAUUAAUUCUCAAAUGUUUUUUUUUAUAAGAUAAAAAUAAUAUUUUUUUAUAAAAAAAAUUCUAGAAAUUAAAAAUUAAGUGUUAACUAGAUUACCAGGUUGACUUGAAUUUUUUUAUCAGAUUAACUAAGUUAUUUAUUUAUUUAACUUGAACUGCUCCCAGAUUCUAAAUUAAUUAUAUUUAAGAACAACUGAUAGAGUCAAUCCAUAUCUAUCUAAGUAAUGAGUAGUAGUAUUGUACUGUCUAUUUAUGAAAAACUCUUAAACUUGGACCAGUUAGAUACAUAGGUAGAUAUAAAAGGUAUACUUUACUUAUUUUUGUAUAACGAAAAUAAAUACAAAUAAAUUUACCAUGCAUAAACAUUAAACUUACCCCAUGAUAUUCCCUGCACAUAUAGCUGUUAAUAUUAAAUUUUUUAUAAAUGGAUUAGAUCGAUUACUGGAUAAUUACGUUAUGCUACUAGCCGAACAAAAAAAAAAUGUAUAGAAAAAUGUUUAGGCAACGAGUAAUAUUCUGAUAAUAUUAUUAGAUUUGGAGAAAUGAUUUAGUUUUGAAUUCUUUUUAUUUAAUUCAAAUUUAAAAUCAAAACUGUCGCACCCCAAAAAAAAAUCAACGCGCGGCAUCGGCUGGCGAUUUAAAUCUCGUUUAUUGCGUUUGCUUGAAUUUGGUUCGUUGGAGUCGCCAUCUAGUAAUUGAUUUCGGGCUACUAGGAAACCGGAUGUACUGGUCUUGCCAAAGAUUCGCGGGUAAGUGACUGGUUGUGGUUAGGGAAGGUAUUAGCACCCCUAACGCACCCUACCUGAGGUAAGCUGCUUCGUGGCUUUGACGUGUUAAAGAAGUUUUAAUAAUUGUCUUUUCUUCGGAAAUUAGAAAUAUCACUUACGUAUAAGUUAAUAAUUCUUAACCGAUCCGAUCAAAAUAUUAAAUUCUUCUUCUAAUAUUUCCAAUUUAUCCUAAAAAACAAAUAUAUAUAAUAUAUAUAUAUAUAUAAAUAAGUAAAAAAAUACAAACACACACAUUCCCUAUUUUCAUUUCUUUUCUUUUUCUUUUCUUUUACAUCCACAAUACAAAUACAAAUUCAAAUACACAAAUAAAUAAAUAAAAAUACACCAACACACACAUCCCUUUUUAUUAUUAUUUUCUUUCUUUUCUUCUUUUUUUUUUCUUUACAUUCACAUAUUACAAAUUUAAAAUAAAUAAACAAAAAUUACAUUAAAACUUUAAAAUUUACAAAAUGGUCCCUCAAAACUCCCGAAAUUGCAGGGAAGGACUUCUGCACCCGAUGACAGUUCCGGCGCGCCUUGCCACUGGCGGCGCGUGGGUUCACGCGCCGCCCAGAAAUUCAGGCGGCGUGAGGGGGCUGCAAUGGCUUCCUCCCCUCUUCAAUCUCCUGCUGCCCGUCACCUGCAAAACGAACAACAACACAAUCGGCAGUCGAUUUUUUUUGUUCUUUUUUUUUUUUUUAAAUCUGCUUCGGAUCUGAUUUUUCGGUCUUCCUUUCUUCUCCGAUCUGCUCCUUCCUCUUGUUCUUCAGAUCGUCUUCCAUGUACUGGCGACGACUGCUGGAGGCCGAAGCAGCGGGUGGCGCCGCUGGGGAAAGGAGCUGCUGCGGUUGGCUUCGGUGGGCGCUGGGUUUCGUCUUCUUCUCCUCUGCUUCGGGUGGCAGAUCGGUGGCUUGGUGGAGAUGGGAGAACGGCUCUGUAGGGAGGAGCUGGAAACCCGAGAUGGCAGGGGAGAGAAGAGGGGCGGCGCUGAAAAAAGGUGGUGUUGUGGUCGGCUGAAGAGGUUCUGGCCGGCGGUGAGAUGGUGUGGGUUUGUGAAGGAUAUAUUAUCAACCGGCUGAGGGGGAGGAGAAAAUUCCAGCCGGUGAGUUGCUGUUUGGCCCGUGGGGAAAAAUCAAAUGCCAGGGGUCUUUGUUUCUCUGGUUUCGGCUGGGGAAGGAGGCUGAAAUGGGGUUGUCGGGUUGAAGAUGGGGGCGGCUUCGGCUGUUGUUUUGGAUUUGUUUGUGGCCGAGAGAAAGGGAACGGCGGAGAAAGAAGAUGAAAACAGGGGGAGGCUGGUUCGGGUGGCCGGUUUUUUUGGGUCAGAAAAAUCAAACCGAGGAGCAACUCCGGGAGACCAAAAAUGAAAACCAGGGGGGGCGGCUGGUGUGAAGGAAAAAGGUUUUUUUUUUUUUAGGGUUAGGGUUUCUGUAUUUUUUUUCUUCUAAAAGUGUCAAAAUUACCCCCCUUGAAUGUUUGAGGGUAUUUAUAGGCAAAAUGUUGCUAGGUUUUUCAACUUGGUCCCUCAACUUCUUUCUUUUUUGUAAAUUUUGAUUUUUCUUAUUUUUUUGUAUUUUUUUGAAAACGAGCAAUAUCAACGUCGACUUAAAUGCGAAAAACAAUGAUUUAAAAAUGACGCGUGAAACGUCGAACGUUUGAAAAUAUUUUAACCAUUUAAAUUCUUUUUUUAGACGACGUUAAAAAUGCUAAAAUGACGAAAAUAUAUUAAAAAACAUAUUUUUGGAUUUUCUUUUUUUCUCAAUUUUUUUGGAUUUUUGAAAAUAUAUCAAAACAUGGGUCAAAAAAUGGGUAGCAACAGAUGCCCCCUCUUUACAAUGCUUACGAAGCGAAAAAACCUCAAAAUUUUGCAUAGUAAGCUUUGUAAAGAAAACAAAAGGAAAAUGAUUUCAUUAUCUUGGGCAACCUGCCUACACAUACUCACUCUAGUCUAUUUUCACGGGCGACCUGCCCACAUAUUGGGUUUACCUGAGAUCCCAUCUGGCGACCUCAUUCAACUGGAACGAAAAUUUUGUGUAACUCGGUUAACCUGAAAUCCCAUCUGGCGAUUCCCUUUAACCAAAGCUACCCGAGAUCCCAUCUGGCGACCUCGUUUAACCAAAACAAAAGAAUGUGUGAAAAAUGGUCUCAUUGUAUGGGUGACAAACCCAAGAAAAAAAUGAUGGUCUCAUUGUAUGGGUGACGAACCCUAGAAAAAUGAUGGUCUCAUUGUAUGGGUGACGAACCCCAGAAAUAUGAUGGUCUCAUUGUAUGGGUGACGAACCCUAGAAAUAUGAUGAAGUGCGGUCUCAUUGUCAUGGGUGACCUACCCGGAUGGAAAAAAUGUGAAAAACGGUCUUAUUAUGAUGGGCGACCUACCCAGAUGGAAAAAAAUGUGAUAUGACAAGUGUGAAAAAUAGGACUUACCUGGCGAAGUUCUGAAGGGAUGACAGAAGAAAGGGCUGGAAGACUUGGUGCUUCCUGAUAAUUCCCGAUCAUGAGGUUUGAAAACUCGGUGUUUCCUGACUGCAAGGGUUGAAAACUCGAGGCUUCCCGGUUGCAAGGUUGAUCUAUUCAUUUCUUUGGGAUUUUCCUAAUGGUAGGGUUCAUCCCAUCGUCCUUUUAUUCCAUGAUCAAACCGAUUCUUUAUUAUCAUCACCACAAUGCUUCUUUCUCUUUCCACCAUCUUACUGGACCUCAUUAAGGAUUUUCCUGUAACAAUUCAAAAAUAUGUGCAGAUGGUUUUUUUUUUUUUUUUUUAGGUUAGAUGAUAUGCAUGCAUCCUUACCUGAUUUGAAAUAAUAGGUCCCCCCUCUUUGAUGCUCCAUCGUCAUAGGGUGCCCUUGUUUGUAUCCCAAAGCUUUCUUUGUUCUUCCGAUGUAUUGGCUCAUUCAUGUGUUAGCCAUCCACUCAGCUGUAAAUGCAGUGCCCAUCCCGGGCGGGCUGUCUUCGACAAUUACUGCUUGCAUCGUUCAUGAAGCUUGACCCUGCCCCCAAGUGUGGUGCUGCUUGAUUCAUCCUGAAGGAUUUUCUCUCCUAGCUUCCUCUGAGAAUUAUCUUCUGAUUGAUUGUGUGCAUCAUGCCAAUACCCAUCAAGAUUGUUAAUCAGUCAUGAACUUGCCUCUAGUUGAAACAGUAUUCUUCAAGCACAUGUUAUCAUCAGCCUUCUUGGAACUCAUCCAGUCAUCCAGACAUGCAUCUCAUAACUUGCAGUACAAAGGCUCAUGGUUGUAUGUUCAGUGUUCUUCUCAAUAGAUUCCCUUCAAACUCUUCUAAUCAGAUUUGUGAAAAGAAAUGUCUCAGCCUCAUCAAUGAUGCUGCUUUUUUUAUCCCCCAUACUCAUGCGGUGAAGCGCUCAUCUGGCUUCAGAACAAGUUGUCCCACAACCAUGUUGCAAAGGAUGACAAUAUGAGAUUGUCCUUUAAGUGCAGCAUUGUUCCACAGUCAGUCUUGGUGGUGUGCAUAUGUUCGAUGUUCAUUCAAAUGCACUCACCCGAUAACAUCUGUCAGGAGCCACAACCAUGUUUCAGAGGGUGACCCAAGAUGAAGAUAUGAAAAUAUCCUUCAAGUAAAGCGUUGCUCAUCAAUUGCUGCUGAAGUUCACUAAAUCAUGGAUUGUCUUUGAACGACAUUGCCCCUAGUUGAUCUGAACAUGCUCAUUCUUCUGUUUACAACCAAAUGGCUUUUGUGAAUGCCAGGAAUGACUUUGAUGGACUUUGAUGACUCAUCAUGUGAUUCUUUCUUUGCCCCCAGCUGAUCUGGAUACUGUUUGUUUUUCCUUUUCAAGGUCUACUGUAUUGCCCCCAGCUGCUCAACUUUUCAAGGAGUGUCGAGGACUUCAAUGUCAUUUCUAUCAACGAUUUUGCAUACUCAAUCAAUGUUCUUCUGUGUUUGAUAAUCUUCCUUGUUCUGGAAUCAACUCUCAUAUUUCAAAGAUCAUGUCUAUUCAAAGUCUAGUUUGUUGAAAUGAAAUCAGAGAUGUCUUUUUGAAAAUCUUUUGAAAAUCAAGCUUUUUGAUCAAAGGCCCAACACAUUUUAUUCGAAAUAUAUAGUCCUUUGAUUGUCAUGCAUUUUGAAAACAGAAAUUGACCCAAUGUAGGAUUAAAAAUGGCUUUUUCCAUGGUUCUUUGUAUCAAUUUGAAUCCUUGAUAUUGGGUAUAUCAUUUGAUAGUCUAUGAUGAGGUGACCUUUGCAUGAAUUUCAAAAAAAACAAAUGCUCAAGUCAAAACUUGGCUUUAUCAAGAAAGGUUGUUUCUUUCUUAUAACUUGUUUUAUCAGCAUGCAUAAUAACCAAUAGCUUAAUUCAUGAAGUCACGACCCUUAUGGAAAAACUCUUCAAGUUUUGAGAGCGCCAUUUAUCGGUUCAAAUUGCUUGCUUGAUUAAAAAGGGCUUUUAAAAGCACGUAAUGCAGGCUAUGGUUCAUGGCUAUGAAAGAAAGGAAUUUCAAAGGCUCAAAAGGUGUUUGAGGGUUUCAAAGACCUAGGAUCAACAUCAACUAUUCAUCAACUCUUUUAUUGUUGUCUUUGUAGAGGAAACGACAUAUAACCUUGUUAACCUCAAAGUUCAGACUUUUCUUAACAUAAGUCAUAAUGCAAAUCCACCUUUCCUUGAUGAAUAACCAACCUUAAUCAUCUGAUAACAUCAAGGCUUUAUAAUGGACACCAAAAGUCACGUUUAUAGCUUAGUCUUUUUCUGGUAUUGACUUUUGUUGUGCCUUUCCUUGAUUGAAAUUUCUUUUGCUCUUCAUAGACUUGAUAGGCGUUCUCCUUCCUUUAUCUUUGACUUGUAUUUAAGUGAGGAAUUUCAACUUCCUUUUUUUUUCUUUUUUUUUCAUAGCCUUCCUCAAAAUUUUCUUAUAUGCCCCAGUCUAUGUGUUUUCUUUUAGCUCUUCUCAAUCAUUGGACUUUGUUCUAAGCCUUCCCCUUUAUCCAUUAAUUAUAUCAAUGUCUCCAAAAUAUCUCUCAUUUGCCCCCAGUGUGGGGUGUGAUCCUAGUCAGGGUUUCUUUUUGAAAGAAAAUAUUUUACCAGCUCAAAAUGGGACUACAAGGGAUAUAAUCUUUAGAAAGUGAAGAGAUAUCAAAGAUGGCCUUUUCUCAUUUCAAGCAAGGUCGGUUAGAACCGAUAAAUUUUGACCUCAUCUAGUGUAAUGAUUUGUACUUGCAAGAAUCAUGAUUCACGAGUCCAUAACUAUUGAAUCCACUACAUGUCAUUAUGCAUACUGCUAAAACUUAGCUAUAUGAUGUGUGGUUCAAUCUUGUGUAUGAGCUCAAAAUUUGUUUGGUCACCUCAUGUCAUUUCAACAAGAAUCGAGUCAUUUCUGCAAUCAAAACACUUUGUCAAAAUAAAAUGUUAAACAUCUGUUGAUUUCAAAACAACAAAAAGACAAAAGUUAGGCAUGUUUCGUUGAAGGAUGAGAUGUGAUAUCAAAACAAAAAUGCAAAAUCCAUAACAAAAAUGCUUGACAGUUUAACUCCUUCUUGGAUCAGCUUCUCUGGCAAUAUCUAUGUUUUGCCGAGCAAUUCCGAUCACUUAUCAUUCUAAAAAUGAUUGAUGACAUCAUCUUUUGCAAAUUGAGCUCGACUCUUGAAACUCUUGCAUCUGUUUACUAAAAUGGUCGAGGACCCCACCAUGACAUCACAUCUCUUAUCUGGAUUAUACCACCUAGAAAUUGGUGGUUGCAUGGGAUUUGUCGGAGUCAAGCAAAAAUUCUAGAAUUUGGCAGGUGUUGGCCGACAAACAUAAGUGGCAGAGGAAUGUCAAUCUUGGCAAAGACAUUUGAGCAAUUGAUGCUUGAGCGAGACUUGACUAGGCAAAGUAACUGAGGUUUCUCAAUCGAGAGUCAUCUUCUGAUGCACCUCUCAUCAUUGUUCUGGAAUCCAUGGCAGAUCCUUCAAUCUUUCCUCUCUUCAUAGCUUGUUCAAUUCUUCGGCCAAUCCUCACAACAUCAUUUCAAUGUUGUUGUGGUUGGUUGAGGAUUGUUAGAAAACUUUCCAAUAGCUUGGUAAUCUUGGCAGCGCCUAGAAACUCGUACUAUCGCCGCUACCGACGUGUGGAAUCACACAUUGUCUCUAUUGGAAGAGCACCUGGUGAAUCUAAAACUCUUUUGUCCCCUCUUCAAUUUCUCACUGACAGUGCAGCAAACAAACACCUAUAGAGGAAGUCCUGCUCUGUUGAAGUUUCAGUCUUCUUCAUGUUUUUCAGUCUAGGCAUGUCUCUUCUCUCUACUCUUGCAUUUUAAUACUGACACUGUUGGAGGAAAAUCAUAGCUGAUCUGAAACUACUGUAUUCCUUCUUGGAUUUCCCAUUUGCAGAUCUACAAACAGAUUCCUGUUGAAAGAGCUCUGCUACGUUGAAGUUUGAAGUCUGCUCGUAUUUUUCAGACCAGGUCUGGAUCUUCAAUGUACUAAAAUGUCUCCGUGCUGAAACUGAUGAGAGAAAUAUUUGUAGCAUAUAUGCAACUUAUAAAUUCCCUCUUGCAUUCCCAAUUUGCAGAGCCAUAAAUGGAUUUUUAUGGAGGGAGCUCUGCCACAUUGAAGUUCAGUGUUUAAUCAUGGUUUUUCAGACCAUCUUGUGCUGCUGAACUGGAGUUGAGCUCAUAAUUGGGGUGGCUUCCAAGAAGACUAAUGCGCCAUGUACAAGAGGCUAGUAGUCGUUUGGUUCCAUUAGAUGAUGUGGAGGCGAUGAACAUUUAACAGUGCAAGUGGGCAAGAACCAGAGUUGUCAUUAGUUGAUGACUAAAGGCAUUGUUGUUGUUGUUCAUGACGGAAAAGGAGAGAUACAGCUUCAAUUGGACAGGAACAAGCAGUGUUCCCACAGAAAACUAUGCAGACACUCUCUUUCCAUUUGAUGCUCAACACUUGUUCGAGCAGAUCUGAGUCCCGCUACUUCACCCUUGAUGCUCUCAACCUUAAUCUGAUAAUGAACCUAUAUCUGACUCCUUUGUUCACUUCCAUUAUCUUUCUUCAAUCUCAUGCAGCACAGCUUGUACAGGGGACCUACGUUUCAGCCCGGUACAUGCAUGAUAAAUGUAUGAACAUGUAAUCUAUAUGAUGAACUCACCCUUCGAGAGGUGACAAUAUGGUCGUAACUCUUGUAUGAUGGACAAGAAUCGUGAUUUUUGCCCAAACUCUACAAUGAAAAUUUUCGGAGCAACGGCCAAUGUGUCACCCACAAGUCUUGAGUUCAAGAUGCUUCAAGAAGGGUUUGCCCUUAUGCAAAAAACGAUAGCACAUACAACCUAAGGACAGGUUCUAUUCAUUAUGUGAACAUGGGUAGGUUUUCUAUCUGGUCUCAAAAGGGUCUCAUAUCUGCCCAGUGACGUUCUUCGUAAAGACAGUAUGGGGGCGUUGCAAAGAAUGGUUAAGGCACGUAUACCCACCAUUACCAAGCAGGCACUCAGAUAUGAGUUGGGUGUUUCACGCAUCUGAACCCUGACCAAUAGUCUUAGGGCAGAUCGCUAGUUCCCCACCUAACCUAGAGGCUUGCGUGUGCUUUUCAAAAUAAAUACAGGUGAUGCAUGAAACAAUUCUAAAAAUGCAUGGAAAAAAUAUAACAAGAUAAAAAUGCAAAAAUUUAAACACAUCAAAUACACAAAGCUUAGUCCAAUAAUGUCAGAAACAAUACCUUCCCCAGUGGAGUCGCCAUUCUGUCGCACCCCAAAAAAAAAAUCAGCGCGCGGCAUCGGCUGGCGAUUUAAAUCUCGUUUAUUGCGUUUGCUUGAAUUUGGUUCGUUGGAGUCGCCACCUAGUAAUUGAUUUCGGGCUACUAGGAAACCGGAUGUACUGGUCUUGCCAAAGAUUCGCGGGUAAGUGACUGGUUGUGGUUAGGGAAGGUAUUAGCACCCCUAACGCACCCUACCUGAGGUAAGCUGCUUCGUGGCUUUGACGUGUUAAAGAAGUUUUAAUAAUUGUCUUUUCUUCGGAAAUUAGAAAUAUCACUUACGUAUAAGUUAAUAAUUCUUAACCGUGAUCUGAUCAAAAUAUUAAAUUCUUCUUCAAUAUAUUUCCAAUUUUAUCCUAAAAAAACAAAUAUAUAUAAUAUAUAUAUAUAUAUAUAUAUAUAUAAAUAAGUAAAACAAAAUACAAACACACACAUUCCCUAUUUUCAUUUCUUUUCUUUUUCUUUUCUUUUACAUCCACAAUACAAAUACAAAUUCAAAUACAAAAUAAAUAAAUAAAAAUACACCAACACACACAUCCCCUUUUUAUUAUUAUUUUCUCUUCUUUUCUUCUUUUUUUUUUCUUUUACAUUCACAUAUUACAAAUUUAAAAUAAAUAAACAAAAAUUACAUUAAAACUUUAAAAUUUACAAAAUGGUCCCUCAAAACUCCCGAAAUUGCAGGGAAGGACUUAUGCACCCGUAUGACCAGUUCCGGCGCGCCUCUGCCACUGGCGGCGCGUGGGUUCACGCGCCGCCCAGAAAUUCAGGCGGCGUGAGGGGGCUGCAAUGGCUUCCUCCCCUCUUCAAUCUCCUGCUGCCCGUCACCUGCAAAACGAACAACAACACAAUCGGCAGUCGAUUUUAAUUUUGUUCUUUGUUUUUUUUUUUUCAAAAUCUGCUUCGGAUCUGAUUUUUUUGGUCUUCCUUUCUUCUCCGAUCUGCUCCUUCCUCUUCUUCUUCAGAUCGUCUUCCAUGUACUGGCGACGACUGCUGGAGGCCGAAGCAGCGGGUGGCGCCGCUGGGGAAAGGAGCUGCUGCGGUUGGCUUCGGUGGGCGCUGGGUUUCGUCUUCUUCUCCUCUGCUUCGGGUGGCAGAUCGGUGGCUUGGUGGAGAUGGGAGAACGGCUCUGUAGGGAGGAGCUGGAAACCCGAGAUGGCAGGGGGAGAGAAGAGGGGGCGGCGCUGAAAAAGGUGGUGUUGUGGUCGGCUGAAGAGGUUCUGGCCGGCGGUGAGAUGGUGUGGGUUUGUGAAGGAUAUAUUAUCAACCGGCUGAGGGGGAGGAGAAAAUUCCAGCCGGUGAGUUGCUGUUUGGCCCGUGGGGAAAAAUCAAAUGCCAGGGGUCUUUGUUUCUCUGGUUUCGGCUGGGGAAGGAGGCUGAAAUGGGGUUGUCGGGUUGAAGAUGGAGGGGGCGGCUUCGAGCUGUUGUUUUGGAUUUGUUUGUGGCCGAGAGAAAGGGAACGGGUUUUUUUUGGCCGAGAGAAAGAAGAAGAUGAAAACAGGGGGAGGCUGGUUCGGGUGGCCGGGUUUUUUUUGGGUCAGAAAAAUCAAACCGAGGAGCAACUCCGGGAGACCAAAAAUGAAAACCAGGGGGGGUGGCUGGUGUGAAGGAAAAAGUUUUUUUUUUUUUUAGGGUUAGGGUUUCUGUAUUUUUUUCUUCUAAAAGUGUCAAAAUUACCACCCCCCUUAAAAAUCAGUUUAGCAUGGUAUUUAUAGGCAAAAAUAUUGCUAGGUUUUUCGACUUGGUCCCUCAACUUCUUUCUUUUUGUAAAUUUUGAUUUUUCUUAUUUUUUUUGUAUUUUUUGAAAACGAGCAAUAUCAACGUCGACUCAAAUGCGGAAAAUCAAUGAUUUUAAAAAUGACGCGCGAAAAGUCGAACGCGUUUGAAAAUAUUUUAACAAUUUAAAUUCCUUUUUUAGACGACGUUGAAAAUGCUAAAAUGACGAAAAUAUAUUAAAAAACAUAUUUUUUUGGAUUUUCUUUGUUUUUCUCAAUUUUUUUGGAUUUUUGAAAAUAUAUCAAAACAUGGGUCAAAAAAUGGAUAGCAACAAAAACCAUGAAAGAGUUAAUUUAAUAUAAUAUAGUGAAUUUGACACGUCUCAGGAUAGCCUAAAUGCCAAAUAAAAACAUAACUUGACUUUGAAAAUCUUUUUUAAAAUAACAAUUUAUUUAUUUUUUUAAAUUGAAAUAAUAAUAUAUAUAAUUAAAUUAAUUUAUUAAAUUCAUGAUAUAAAGUAUUUGUUGUUGAACAAUUUUGUUUUAAAACCUAGACUACCCGAUAAAUCAACUUCGACCCAGUUAAUCUAAUCUAAGACUGGAGCCAUUUGAAUUGAAAAAAAAAUCAGUUAACCUUGAAAACUUUAGCUGACUUGUUUAACUAACUAUCACACCGUUGAUAAAUUUUAUUUUUUUGGAUUUUUUUUAAAUAAUAUUUUUAAAACUAUAAUAAACAGUGCUUUUGUGAGACGGUAAUAGUCAAUUUCCCUCUUUUGUAAUUUUUUUAAUAAUAAUAAUAGAGAAAAUGAAUAUGUAAGAAAAAAUAGCACUGUACUGUAAGUAUUUAGCGGUUAGUGACACGGUAACGACUGGCAAUCUGUUUAUGCAGAGCCCAAAAAACCAUAACCGUCGAAUCAAGCACACAUUUUUACCAAGAUCCCAUAAAAACCCAAUAAUCCAAAAGCAAAAUUGGUGGCUGAAAUCAAGUAAACCGUUAACCCUGUUCGUAGAUAGAAGGCAAAAUCGCUUUCUUGUGUUUUUGUGGGGUUUAUAAAGGGAGGAAAGAUAGGAGUCUGCGUCUCAAAACCAGCUGCCGCAGCAGCAGCAGCAGCCCGGGAGGAGGUAGUGGUGAGGAGCGUAUCGCCACCGCCACAAUCACCGGCGCCGGCAGCGGCAGCGGCAGCGGCAGUAGCGACAAAGGGACAUUCUGGGCUGUUGAGUAAUUCGAAAUCGGGACAUCCAGUGCUGUUGAGUUCGAAAUCGGGGCAGUUAGUGGGUGAUUCGAAGAGGAUGAAGGGACUUUUCAAGUCAAAGCCGAGGACUCCUGUCGAUAUAGUUAGACAGACUCGCGAUCUUUUAAUCUAUGCUGAUCAGAGUUCAGCUUCAUUAUCAGAUUCAAAACGAGAAGAGAAGGUUGGCAGUCUCUUUCUUAUCAUUUCUAUAUAUUUUAUGUGUGCUUGUGUUCUUUUUCUGUUGUUUUCUUUUAAUUAGGUGGAUUUUGAUUGAUUUGAGAUUGUUUGGGGUCUGGGUUGCUUUUCUUUUUUUGCUUUGGAUGAGAAAGGUUCAAUCUUUAUGAAAAAAUUGCGUUUUUUAGGGUGAUUCUUGAUGUCUGAUUGAGGUUUGGAUUAGAGUAUGCUGUGAUAUUUACAUAGAUAGGAAGAAAUAGUUAAUUUGCUGAGUGCUAAUGUGAUUGCAAAGAGGUUAGUUUGCUGGCCAAGUUUAACUUGAAUGUGGUUGGGUGUGUUGUGAGAGGAAUCUGAUAUUACUGUCAACGGGUUGGGUGUAAAGGUUUUAGCUUUUUAGUAGCUUUAGUCGUCAUGGGAGUAAAAGUGGAAACUUUGAUUGUAGGUUUGUGAAUUAGGUGUGAUCUGUGGCGCUAUAUGUGUCAUUGAUUUGUUUCAACUAGUUUGUUCACAAUAAAAGAAUUAGAUUAGUGUUGAUGAAUUUUGGUGAGUGUAGAUGUAAGAUUGCGAUGAACAUGCAUUAGUGUCGCUGUAUAAUUUCUUGCUUUUGUUGCAUGUUUUGAUAAGUUAUUUUCUUGAGUAGGGCUACUGGGGCAUUUAAGCUUCUGUCAAGCAUUUUAUUUGUGGAAUUCGAAUUUGACUAUUGUAUUUUCUAAUACAGAUGGCAGAGUUAGCUAAAAAUAUCAGGGAGUUAAAGUCAAUUCUUUAUGGCAAUAGUGAGUCUGAACCGGUGUUAAAAAUCAACAUGUUAAAAAUCAAAUACAUUCAAAAAACUUUUAAAAAUUUAAAUUAUUUUGAGACAACAUUAAAAAUGCUAAAAACAAUGUAAACAUAUAAAUAACAUAUUUUUUUGAGUUUUUAGUGUUUACUUAUUUAUUUAUUGUUUUUUUUUUAAGUGUUAGACGUAAAUUCAAAUUAAAUAAUAAAAACCAUAUACACUUAGAAUUAUAUUUGUCUGGGAGCGUUAUUGUUGUAGAAUUUGGAUUAUGACCGAUCUUUUACAUAAAUAUAUUUUUAGGCCUAUUUUUCUUUAUAUGAUCUUGAGUUUUUUUAUGAGCUACAUGCUGUGAAGACCAGUUGUAUCUGGGAUUCAGGUUUGAGAAUUAAAAAAAAAAAAAAUAUAUAUAUAUAUAUAUAUAUAUAUAUUAAUUACGACUAUAUGCAUAACAGAAUCAUGAAGUCACAAUAUUUAUGUAUGUGAGUCUUACAGAUAUGUAUGCAUUGGAUAAAUCCAAACACCAACUUCUUCAAUGAUUUGUGUAGGGUGAUAAGGCAUUGCUCAAUAAGUGGUGAAAUCCCCCGGUACAUUGGUGAUUGGUCAUCGUUAAAAUACCUGUAAGUUUCAUUUCCUCUUUUGUAAAAGAUUUGUAGUUCUGUCGUGGCUAUUUUGUUUCAUCUAUAAAUGCUCAUUGUUUAGGGCCUUUAGGCCAUGCAUAGAAGUGUUGAUGAUUUUUGACUAUGUGUUUACAGAAUCAGCUAUGCAAUAAUUUACCAUAGCACAACUAUAUAUCAAAUAUGUAGGAUAACGUUUGCUUUCAUUUUAUUGAUCCUGCAGAGACUUGAGCUUUAACAAUUUAACGGGUGGAAUACCAGAUUCCAUGAAAAAACUGAAUUUAAGUAAGAUGUAUGCAAAAGAAAUUCCUUGAACUCGAUGUCUUAUAAUAAGUUCGUUCUGGCACUCUGUUAAAAAGUAUAUGGGAUGGUUUUCAUUCUGGUUUGUUUUGUUUAGGUUUCUUACAGGAAAUAUGCUUAAUGGCACAGUACCUUCCUGGGUUCCUCAUACCAUUGAAGACAAGGUGUAUGUUAUGGCUUUGUUCUCUUUGCUCAGAUGGGUUGUUUUCCCUUUUGUAGAUUUCCUCAAUAAAAUCUUGAUAUGUAAACAAUAAUGUUGCAGGGACUUGUCAUAUAAUAAUUUUGAAAUUUCACGUGAUGGUCCGAAGAAAGGAGAAGGAAAGCUGAACAUGUAAUAACGGCUACUUCAUUUUCUUCCUCCUUUUUUUUCACUUGCAAGAAUAUUAUUGUCUAUAAAAUCCCAACUUCUAAUCAUUUUGUAUCAUGUGCACCAACUGCUUGCAUGUUGUUCCUACUCAAGCAGUCAACCAAACAGGUAUGAUAAUAUCCUCCAUAUGGUGUCAUUAAUUUAGAACAAAUGAUCAUGAGUUAUUUCUUACCAAUUUUGUUUGCUAUUUCUAGGAAUUCUAUACGUGAUUUGAAAAAUAAAUGUCGGGGAAAACAAAAGUGUAAGUUCUAUUGAGAAACUCAUAUUUACAUUCCUGAGUAGUUCAUUUAAAUUAAUUAUUGGUUUAACCUUAGCUUUGGAAUGACAUAUGCAAUGUUAGAAACUCUUCUGAAAAUUGUCUGUAGAAUUUAGCGCAGGACAGAUUUUCUGUACUGAUUAUCAUUUUUUGCAGACGGUUCCUUGUAUAUAAAUUGUGGAGGAGCAGACACAGUUUUUAAUGGGAAAGAGUUUGAAGCAGACAGUGCAACAUCAAAUUACUAUGAAGCCCCAAAAGAAAAUUGGGCUUAUUCUUGUUCUGGAGACUUUGGUUCGGAAACUUAUGAUUCCAGUUAUUACAUAAAAAACGUGGAAUGUGAAGUUUGUGAUUCUGCUGGGACACUUCUUUACAACUCAAGUCGCCUCUGCCCUCUUUCUCUGACAUAUUACGGCUUCUGUUUAUUUAAAGGAAGUUACACUGUGAAACUUUACUUCGUUGAAACUGUUUACCAAAGUGAUAAAGAUUACUCGAAUUUAGGGAAACGUGUUUUUGAUGUAUAUAUACAGGUAACCGCUAUAUUUUUCUGCAGCUCCUUUCAAUAAUUUCCACCAUUCAACAUCCAUUUUUGAUAUAGGGGAAGAGAGCACUAAAAGACUUCAACAUAAAAGAAAUGGCCAGUGGCACCAAUAAGACAUGGACUGAAAGUUUCACAGCAUAUGUAGGAUCUUUCCAAUUGCCAGAUUUUUCCAAUUUACUUGCUGCCCUGUCUCUGAAUGGACCCCUUGUGGCAGGCAUUUCCGUAACUGCAAGUAAAUAGUUGCAUGUCUUUUAUUUUCGUUGAGCAAAGAUUUCUGUUACACUUUAUCUGGAUAGAUAAUUUUUUCUUGUUGUCUUCCACUAUUUGUAUUCAGACUUCGAAGUUCCAACUGGCAAGGGACUAUCUCCUUCACAAAUUGCAGGGAUUACCGCAGGUUCAGUAUUUGCUCCUCUACUUCUGUUGGCUUUCAUGUGGAAAAUGGGCUGGCUGCGGAAAAGCGAGUUGGAUGGUACCUCUCCAUGCUAAUCUAAAAUCAUUAUGCACCACACUACCUUAAGAAUUCUUACUUUGAUGUUUUCUUCAAAUAGAAAUAACCAUUGAGGUCCAAGGAAAAUCUUUCACCCUCAAACAAAUAAUCGAUGCUACUCGAAAAUUCAGCCCCAAAAUGGAGAUUGGCAGGGGACGCUUUGGAAUAGUAUACAAGGUCAGAUUUUCUUUUCUGAAACAUUUGUUCUUCAACAUGCACUUUUUUCUAUCAAAGUUCUGGCAAAUUGAUUUCACGUGUAUACAGGCUGAAUUGCCGAACGAGAUAAAAUUAGCAGUGAAGAAGAUUUCUCCUCAAUCAAAGCAACAAGGAAAAGAUGAAUUACAAAGGGAAAUCUUCAACAUGAAAUCUUUGCAUCGUGAGAAUCUUGUUCAAUUGUUGGAUGGCUAUUCUAUUAAAGACCUGUAUCUGCUAGUAUAUGACUAUAUGCAUAAAGGCUGCCUUCACCAUGCGUUGUUCGGUAAUACUGCCAUCACCCGAUUUUCAUCCUGCUCUUUCACCUAAUGCAUUGCCUUGUGAAACUCAUGUAAUUGUAUAUUUAAAUCUUCUGUUAGUACAAGGAUAGUGUACUUGCAAAUAUCAAUAACUUAAUAUCAAUAACCUUGAUUUGUAGAACCAAAUUCCACGACAAAACUUGAUUGGAAAGCUAGAUUUGGUAUCUGUCUGGGAAUAGCGAGAGGUUUGAAGUAUUUACAUGAAGAGAAAAGGUUCAAGAUUGUUCAUGGAAACAUAAAACCUAGUAAUAUUUUGCUUGAUAACUCUCUUACGGCCAAGUUGUCUGACUUUGGAUUGGCAACGCUUUGUGAUGAGGAAGAUCCAUUUAUGACCAUCAAAGCAAAAGGGUCGCGGUAAGUAUUAUGAUCAUUGAUUGACAAGUACUUUCAUUGUUUUAAUUAAGAGCUAACCAAUAAUUAAUCUCCUGUUGCAGAGUUUACAUGGCACCUGAGUAUUCAAUGGGAAAAGCAAUAACUGUUAAAGCUGAUGUUUACAGUUUUGGAAUUGUUCUACUCGAAAUAGUUAGCGGGAAAGUUAGUGCAGAUUACAUAACAAACCAAGAAGCUGAGUUUCUUCUGGAUAAAGUAAGUGGAUCUGACAGGAUAAACCCUCUUAGAUUUUUUUUUCCCGUAGUUAUUAUCAAACCAAACAUGUUCUGUCAAUAUCAAAUGACUUGUGAAUUCUACAUCAAGCUCACAAAAGAAAUUUACAAAAAAAAAGAUAUUAUUAUUUGAUAAUUUAAAAUAUAUAUUACAUUAAACUCAGGCAGGAUUUAUAUAAUCAUAUAACAAGACACAUAAAAAAUAAAAUAAAUUAUAAAAAAAUAUGUUUGAUUAGAUAAUUGAAAUUAUUUCUUAAUUUGCCAAGAGUUGUUCAAUUCUUUCAUCUCAUCCUUUUCUUGAUUACAAAAUAAUCAAUAAUAUUUACCUUCUUGAUUAUUUUCUUAGCACACACCUCAAACUCUUUAUAAUUUUUUUUUUCUUGAGUUCGACUAAUACUUCUAUUCUCAUUGUAUGCUUAUCUUCAACAAUUAUAUUUUUAUAAACAUGGCUAUUCUUAGUUUUUUUAUUAUUCUCUUAUUAUUAUUGUUAUAUUUCUAUAGCCAAACAUCUCUUUUUGAAAUUUAGCUUUUUAAAUAUAUAUUUUAUUUUGGCUUACUCUUCAUCAAACUAAUAUCUUCUUUUUAUCAUGAUUCAUCAGCUAUUUUCCAUCUCCUUCGAUAGAAAGAGCUAACUCUUCUUUUUUAUAGGUGGUCUCUUUUGAAUAUCGCUUAUGCAAAAACUUAUCUGCACCAAAUCUCUCUCCGUCUUUCUCUCUGUCUUUUUUUAAUUUCCUUCUCUUGAUGAAGAAUCUCAAUUCUCUUGUUGGGCUUUCUUAGGAAAAACUAUCUCUCUUUUUUAAUUCUUUGGAUGUUAUUUGGUCAUCCACAUGAUCUUGUGAUUUCUCUUUAUCAUGAGUCAAUUUAUCAUUAAAAAGGAAAAGUAAAUAAAAUAUUUGGUAGAUGAUAAAGAGAUGGAAAACAAAGUGUUUUAAAAUAAUCAGAUAUAUGGCAUAAAAUCAUCCAUCAAAAAAGAAAAAGCUAAUAUUUAGAGUAGUAUAUGAUCGACCUACUCUGAAACCGAAAAAAAAUUAAUUUAGAAUAAAAGAGGAUAAUAUUAUUUGAUAAUUUGAUAUAUGAUAUAUGUGUCACAUUUAACUCUAGUGGAGUUUAUAUAGUUAUAUAACAAGGCACAUAAGUAAAUAGAAUAAAAUAAAUUACAGAAAAUGUGCUUGAUUAUCUUCUUCAAUUGGAUGGUUGAAAUAAUUUCUUGAUUUUUUGAUUUUUUUUAUUGAUUAGAAAAUAAUGAGUAAUAUUUACUUGAUUAUUUCCAUAAUACUCGUAGCUAAGCUAAUCUUGCUUUUCAAUUGCAGGCUGGUGUUUUGCACGAUAAGGGAAGAAUCCUUGACUUGGUUGACAAGAAAUUAGCAUCUAGUUACGACAGAAAGCAGGCUCUCACUAUUUUGCUGUUAGCAAUGAAGUGUGUUAAUCUGUCUCCUACUCUCAGGCCUAAAAUGUCCGAAGUCGUCAGUGUACUUGAAGGUGAGAAAAGAAUUGAAGAGAUUUCCGAAGCUGAUACUUCAUCAGCAAAUAUUGUCCUUCCAGGGUGUUGGAAAUAGAUCCAAUUUCUUAGCCAAUUGGUAACGUUAAGUUUGGUGAUGAAAACCUUCUGUUUCUUUUUUAUUUUGUAAUUACUUGGGUCUAAUUAUGUGGUGGUGUCAAGAGAACAUUGAUGUGUGUGUGAGAGACUCCAUGAGAAAAUAUGUGUGUUUGCUUUGUCUGCUAUGAUUAAUUUGUGUUGUUAUGGCUGCUGGUAAUUUCGUGAAUUGAAUAAGGAAUUGAUCAUUAGAUUUUACGAAAAUGUAUAGAUUUUAUUGAUC
Molecule: long non-coding RNA, 77936 nt
Filed under: Populus tremula
Lineage: Eukaryota; Viridiplantae; Streptophyta; Magnoliopsida; Malpighiales; Salicaceae
Description: long non-coding RNA (PTRE_LNC003293)
Source: RNAcentral